AACAACAUUCUGGUCUUCCCCCCAACACAAACUUGAUCAUAUUAAUUUUGGGAAUACAUCCUUUUUGACAUGUCGAUGGAUUGCUCCUGAGCCCGUCGACCACACCCUCAUCUUUCCCUGCUAAAAUUGUAUGACUUGUUUUCUAAGUUCUUUCUGAUGGAUCCUUGGUGUACCCGAAGUCCGACCUUUGCUUAAAGACCAUGUCAACGCUAUCUCGAAGCAUGUAUGUGGUACUCCGAUCUUCAAUAAGAACAUUUGAACCACAAUGCUAAAAUUUCUUUAUUAAUUACCCCAAACACCGUUGUAUGGGUAAUGUCAUGAUAUCUCUCUCCCCUUUUCUAAAGGGUUUUCUACGUCAUAUCUUGUCAUGGAUAUCAUGCUCUGCUUGCUCUUGGGAAGGAUAUACCCUUGAAAUAUGUGUUUAAACACAUUUUCCUUUCCAUUGUUCUGUUUAAUCUGAUAAUCACAUUUUCCUUUCCAUUCUUUUGUUUAACCUUUCCACUAAACUAACUUAUCUCAGUAGAGAUAAUUUCCUGCUUAGGUAAGCACCUCAAUGUACAACUCUGUCAGUAAAGACCAUUUUACUAUUAUUGAUGACAUUCCGGUAACCGCCGAUGGAUGAGAACUUUGCCUAAUGGUCCGCCUCAUUCCAACGAGCAGGAAAGUGGUUCUCUUCGUCCCUCGCCUUUGGUACCAACAUUGUUGCCAACAUAACUAACAGGUUAUUCUCUAACAUGCCUUUCUAUCAUGACCGCGCAAGAUGUCACCGCUCCUUCUAUUUUAACCCACAUGGUGGGCCCAUAACCCAUAGUUCCAUAGGAUCGGAACCUGACUCUCCUGUAUAUCCUUUAUUCCGAAGUAUCAUUUGCUCUUGGCUUUGUGUGUUGUCACGAGACACCGUCCAAGAGAUGAUCUAUUCCCGAUGCUCUGGACCCCUUUCUCACACUCUGUUCGGGUAUCAAUCGUUUGUCUAUCCGUUUGAUCCUUCCUGUUGCACCUUCAUACAUGCUCUCGAGGUCUUAUUAAGUUUCAACUCGAGAGAUACUUCUGCCACAUUCCCUGAAUUGUUCACCAGAUAAUUAACCCUAUAAGGGUCAGUUCUCCCGAACUUACUUUUUACUUCCGCACUUAAAUCUCAGGCCGAGAUUUCUUGUAGUGGAGGAGAUUUGUAACACCCCCAGUGUCAUGCUACAGUAACCCUCUGUGAUUAAACUAAUCAUUUUUCCAAACAGUGCUUCAUCACCUUUGAUCAAUAUCCCAUUGAAAUUCCAGUCAAUUCAAAUUCAAGUGAAGUUUGAAGUUGCUCAAAAGUUGCUGGAAAAAUUUUCAUCAUUUGUCAAAAAAUCCAUAACAAUUAUUUGUUAAGGAAGACAACAUCACUUUUGUGCAAAGAUGAGCAUUAGCAAUUAUAACAGCACCAAUUCAGCAUUUUUAAAUGCUAUCCUAUUUAUGAAAAAUACCAAAUGAAUUCUUCUGGUCUCCAAAAUAUUUGUGGCACUGUCUAUAAUCACCAGGGAUUUAAUGCGACACAUCCCACAUUUUUCUUAAGUGAAACAGUUGACCAAAUAAUUCCCUUUCUCUCUCUGUUAAUAAAUUAAGGCAGAAUAUAAAAAUAUAAAAAGGCCUACCUGGCCUCUGGCCUAAGACCCAGCGCGGCCCAGCCCACCAGGUGCCCCUGUCUCCCUCCUCUGUUCACACGGGUGCCGUGGAUGCCGUGCGGCCGCACAUGGCCGGGAUGGCCACGUGUCGGCCAUCCGCUGCCAUCCCGCGCGGAUAAGGUCGCCAGCGACGCCCCUGCCAACCCUAGAUCGCCUACUUCCCCUUCGCGCCCCCUCCCUGGUCCUCUCCGCCUCACCCCCCUCACGAGGUCCCUCCUCCCGUGCGCACCCAUGGCCGCGGCACCGUGCUGACUGCAGCCACCGCUGUCCCCGCCCCUCUCUGACGAGUCCCCGAGCGCCGUCGUGCCCGGCUACGUCUUCUCCGACAACGGACUAGAGCUCGUCGCCCCUACAGUGCCCACCCCGUCGUCGUCUUCUUUCUCGGCUCACCGUCGUCUUCUUCAACGACGGUUCCCACUACAGCUCCUAAACCCACCGUCGGGCCCUCGUGCGCCCUCUCGGUGAGCUCGCCCUCCUCUUACCUCUCUCACGUAUGCCGCCUCCCUCUCAAGCUUGCUCACCACGGCUGCUGAAGCUCGGCCCCACCGCCGAGCCCCUUGUCGUUGCUACUGACGUCGUCAAGCUCAACCGAGCCCCGUGUCACGCUCAUGGCCUCAUGGCGGAGCCGCCCGUGCCCUUACUUUGUCUUGCCACACCCCACAACGUCGACUCCAUCGAGCACCCGAAGCCGCCGCCGCUGCCGUCGACGAGGAGCUCACUUCCGGCCAUCCCCGGGCGAGCCACCACAACCCCCUCAACGCGCCUCGACACGCUCGCCUGUUCGGCCCCUAACACGCAGCAAACAGAGCCCCGUUGCACAAUCCCCAUCCAUGCCCGAACCCCGCCGGCGCCUCCACUCAUCGUCGGCGCAGUUUCGGCCAGCCGCAAGCCCAACCGACCUCACCACGCGACGCGGCGAGCUCUCCUCGUUCGAAUGCGCCAAGUCCCGCACCUAAAGACCCCCUGUGGCGUGAUUCCGGCGAAGUCCGGCGAGCCCCGCCGCUGUUUUGGUCGCCGACGGUGAAACCCCGACGCCACUGACGUGGCGCAACCGGGCCCUACCCUUGGGUCACUGCCAGUGGGCCAUGGGGGCCCCAUUGACUGGGUUGACCAAGUCAACGUGCUGACUGGGCAGCCCAGUGGCACUGACAUGCGGGCCCCACCACGUAAUUAAACUAAUGAAAAUAUUUUUAUAAAUAAAACUAAUUAGUUAACCUAAUCAGUCACUGACAUGUGGGGCCCUACUACUAAUUAACUCUGUUUAAUUAAAAUAACCCACUAUUAGCCCUCUGUGUAUGACAUGUGGGACCCACUGGUCAGUUUGACCUGGUCAGCCGUCCUGUUGACUGCUGACGUCACAGUGAUGUCAUGUUGACGUUGUAAUUCUUUUUUGUUAAUAAUAAUAAUUCCAGAAAAUACUUUAAUCUUUAGAAAUUCAUAGAAAAUAAACCGUAACUCCGAUGAAAAUGUUUUCUAUAUGAAAGUUGCUCAAAACAAUCCCUCGAAUCUGAAUACACGGUCCAUUCACCUAGCAUGCUGAACAUGGAACCGUUCCCUCUCUUUCGUCUAUCCGGAAAAAGCCAGACGCUGGGAAAACCCCUCCGGAUGUUUUCCCUCUCCGUCUGCAACAUGUAGUACUACGUUAGAGCACUCCUAGCGUAGCUUACUGCCUUGUCGGCCUUUCUGUUGCAUUUGUAUGCUUGCUAUUUAUUGCUUCUUCCCCCUCUUCUCUCCGGUAGACCCCGAGAACGAUGCUGAUGCCCUUGGAUCGACUACGUCGACGACGACACUUCUUCCUUUUCAACAGAGCUUCCAGGCAAGCAAACCCCCCCUUGAGCAUUCCGAUAUCGCCCAUUUCUUUCCCUCUCAUGCUUCCAUUAGAACUGCUACUGCUUUAUGUAUGAUCCUAUUCUCAUGCAUAGCUUGUUGUUAUUACCUUCUUAUAUACCUUACCUGCUUAUCCUAAACUGCUUAGUAUAGUUUGGUUAGAGAUCCAUUAGUGACCCCACCUUGUCCCAGUUGCCUCGCUUUAUGUUCAAUGACUCGAUCAACGUGAUUGACGUCCAGGCCCCGACACCGCAUGUCACCCCCCUAGUUGUACGACUCUGCAGAGUUACCAUCGAGUGCCUAGGGUGGAACCUCUUACCUCACUCCUGAUGAGAUCUUUGUAGUGUAGCUAUAUGGUCAAGGUCAUCGAGGGUGAUUUCCUCCUUAACCACUUCCGUUGCGGCUCUAUCGUGCAGCCCAUCAAAUGUGAACCUCGAGGGUGGAUCCUCUUACAUUCACCUUGUUGAUAACAUCGAGUGGGAUUCACCGGGGGUGAUUCCUUGGGUUUUCCCCUUGGUGUUAGACACACAGUUACUAUGGUUACUUUUACUUUGCACUGAGCCAUGUUACUAAAGACGGGUCGGCCCUGAGGGGUACCCACGCGAGCUUAAUAGCGAGUGAUGUGGAGUCGGGCUGACCUGGAACGUGCCCAUGAGAUACUACGAGGCGUGGCCGGGCAUUAUUAGCCCUUGCCGCAAGUACUCGAGACGGGGCGAUGGGGUCACAUCGAUCGUGAGUCUCUGCUCAUUACCGUGUGCUCCUAAUCCACUACUAUUUGGAUAUUUCAUCCGAGGGGCCUUUGGCAUGAUAGCACUAAACAUCACGUGGGCAUAGUAUGGGCGUUCUGCGUCGUAUGCAUCGGCCGAAGCUUAAUCGACAUCAGCGACAGAGCGGCGCGCACCGGGUUGGACUGCGUAAGCUCCUGCCUUGGUGAAGGAGGUAGCUAGGUCUGCUCACCGGCCGCGUACGCAAUGUGCAGGAGUUCCCGGGGAGAUGGCCCAUGACCCCUGGGGGCAUAGGUUUAGUUCGGCGUGCUGACCUCUCUAUUAAGCCUAGGUCGGGUUGUGGCGUAUUGUUUGGCCGAGGCCAGGCAUGACCCAGGAAAGUGUGUCCGGCCGGAGUUAAUCGAGCAUGGUGGGUAAGUUGGUGCACCCCUGCAGGGAAGAAAACAUCUAUCGAUAGCCUGUCCUAUGGUAACGGACACUUGGAGUUGUAUCCUGAUCGAUACAACUAGAACUGGAUACUUGUGAUGAGAACUGGAUGGUGAUGAGAACUGGAUUGUGAUGAGAAAUGGAUAGUAUGGCUCUGGGAUUGCUUUCUCGCUGGGAGUCGAGAAUGGAUCUCUGGCCGAGGUUGAUAACACUACUACUACUUUACAUUAUGUUGAUCUGUACUCUUCUAAAUGCUGCAAGAUGCUUGAAGAUGCUAGUCUUCGAUAGGCUAGGCUUUCCCCUUUCUCUUCUGGCAUUCUGUAGUUUAGUCCACAGAUAUGAACCAUUCCUUUGAUACAGAUGCAUACUUAGUUUAGUUCUGAUGUAAGUCUUGCGAGUACUUUGGAUGAGUACUCACGGCCGCUUUGCUACCUCUUUUUCCCCCAUACCCGAUUGUUGCGACCAGAUGGUGGAGCCCAUGAUCCAGACGACACCACCGAUGACUCCUACUACCCCGAGGGUGCCUACUACUAAGUGGAGACUGCCGAUGACCAGGAGUAGUUAGGAGGCUCCCAGGCAAGAGGCCUUGCCUCUUCGAUCGUGUUGCUUUGUGCUAGCCUUCUUAAGGCAAACUUGUCUAACUUAUGUUUGUACUCAGAUAUUGUUGCUUCCGCUGACUCUUGUGUAUUCGAGCUUAUGUAUUCGAGCUCUCGAGGCCCCUGGCUUGUAAUAUAAAGCUUGUAUUAUUUUAAUUUGUGUCUAGAGUUGUGUUGUGAUAUCUUCCCGUGAGUCCUUGAUCUUGAUCAUACACAUUUGCGUGUAUGAUUAGUGUACGAUUGAAUCGAGGGCGUCACAAGUUGGUAUCAGAGCCGACUGCCUAUAGGAAUCCCCCUUCCAAAUUCCUUGGUCGAAGUUGAGUCUAGUCACUGAAAAACUUUUACUAACAUGGUUGUGUGCCUUACGGGCCCACGUUGCCAUUUGGGUGGUAUUAGGAUCUUUUACUCCCCGUCUAUACUCUGGGACUCUAAUCUCUCUUCUAUUCGGGUUAAAUGGUUUUACUAACUCGAACAUUAGGAUCUCGUGAUCACAUUCGCCCGGAGAGCCCCUUAUUUCAGAUGAUUGCCUGCUGCAUCAGAAGAUUCCGAAGAUACUCGAUGAUUUUCUCUCGAGACUUUGUGCCUAUUGCCUUUGCAAUUCCCUACCACUGAAAUAUCCUUAUGGAUAACUACACACACUUACCAAUCUUACAUUCUAUCCCAUUGAUCUUGUUAUUACAAGAUGCCCUGAACUGCUCUCCUUUCCCGAGAAUCCUUUGAGCUGACUGCCUUGCAGUUCCUUGUCAUCUGAAUACCCCUACGGAUAACUUUGUGCACCUAUCGAGUAUCCGCUCAUCCUCAGUUGAUUCUUGUACUUCACAAAAGUCUUUGUAAUACCAUUCAUUCUUGUAAAAAUCCUCAACAACCUAUUGUUCUUGAAUUUCCUGCUUGCUUGCAUUAUGGUUAAUACCAUAAGUCUAGUAAUCUUAUUGUCAGCCUUUGUCAUUAUCAUUUUGAGUCCGUUGAUACAGUAUGUUGCGAAUGCUCGCAACCCUCAAUCAGGUCCUAGAAUUCAUCCUUCCGGUUCAGACGUGAUUUUAACAUGAAUCUUGAUCAAUCAAAUCGCCAUCGAUUGUACCCCUAAGGCUAUUCUACCUAUCCAUCCCUAAUCAGAGCAUUGCUUCUGAUCCCUUGUCAUGGAAUUCAUAAUUCCUUUGCAAUUGAGCUUUGAGUUAGUCAAUUGUUUCUAUAAUCUGGUCUCCUUGCAUUCUUUCUUCCUCUGGUUGGAUAUUGAUGCUCACAUCAGAUCCCUUGUGGACCACCAGACCCCCCCCCCUUUUCGGAUUUUAUCCGACAACGUCCUUCAUAUUCGAUAAGCUUGUAAGCCUUUCCUCAGAUACAUAAUGCUUUUGGUAAAUUGUAUCCUCCGCUUUCUCAAGCAUGCUCUACUACCAAGGACACAUAUUUGAUUUUUCAACCAAUUUAUAUGCACUGGAGCAUGUGCUUGUAUUUCAAAUUUGAAUUAUGCACAUAAAAUGCCUAGAAAACCCACUUAAUGUAUAAAAAUGUCCAAACGAACCCCGAAAAAUUCCGAAAAUUAACUCAACACUCCUGUUGUUCUAUGUUGACACUAGAAUUUUUUUGAAAGCAAUAAGAGGCAAUGGAUAUCAUUUCGUCGCCAAAGGUGGCACGUUCCCUACCGAAACCACUAGGCUUGUUGAGAAGCUCUGGUUUGCGAGAAGCUUAUACCCAAACCUGCCCCAAAUGGGACAAAAAAUUUACCAUGGCAUGUUGAUGCCGCUCCAUGAUACCAUGCCAAGUUUCAUGAAUUUCAGACGAGUUUUGGAUUUACUAGAAUUUAAAAACCAGAUAUCUCGAUGUUUUGCCGGCAAUCAACAGUGCCCUGGUGUUUGAAAUUCAUUCCCGUCUCUUGGAUGGGACCUAAGCAUGCACCCAAGGACACAUAUUUGAUUUUUCAACCAAUUUAUAUGCAUUGGAGCAUGUGCAUGUAUUUCAAAUUUGAAUUAUGCACAUAAAAUGCCUAGAAAACCCAGUUAAUGUAUAAAAAUGUCCAAACAAACCCCCAAAAAAAUCCAAAACUUAACACACCACUCCUAUUGUUCUAUGUUGAUGCUAGAAUUUUUUUUGAAAGCAAUAAGAGGCAAUGGAUAUUGUUUCAUCCCCAAAGGUGUCGUGGUGUUCAAAAUUCAUUCCCAUUUCUUGCAUGGGACAUAAGCAUAAACCCAUGGACAUAAGCAGAUAAAAGGUCUAGCAAUUCAAACACCGUCCAUUGCCGUUCUGACCCCAUUAUGUAAUUCAAAUCAAGAUGGAAAAUCAAGUAGAUCCCACACAGUUUAUUAUCACCAACUGUGUGAGAUGUAGUACAAAAUAUCCUGGAGCACCGUUGGUGUAUAGUAAGCCUAUGGCUUACGCGAGAAGGUGUGUCGGCUACAGUCCACAAUAUUACUACCUCAUAAUCUUGAAAAUAUCUACCGCGUGGAAGGUUUUGAUGUUUGAUAGCACACGAUUAGUAUGUGCAGACUGUGUGCAAUGUCUGAUACUCCCGCUCUGCUUUAGUCCCUUGAUUCAAAUUUUCAGUAGCCCCGACAUUUUACUCCCGCCUCUGCAUCCCUUGCAAUCUCAAAAAUAUCUGCUCGCCCUUGAUCCAAAUUUUCAGUAGCCCUGCCUUGUUACUGCCGCCUAGUAAAAUUUUCAGUUGCCACAGUAUUUCCUCAAACACAACCUUGCCCCCCUCCAAACACACCACACACUCCCCAAAACCUCCGCUCAUACAGACACACACUGCAAGUGCAUCUAGUGUCCCUUAGUGAUUUUGGUGUAUUGAAGACUUAUAGGUUAAGGGACUAAUGCGUUUGUGAGUGUACACAGGUCUAUAAGUCUAUGAGGAGUUUGAUAUUUACAGGAAAAGUCGACCCCUAAAAAUGAAUAUCUUCGACUGAAGAUUUUGGUAUUUCUGAAGACUUUCAUCAAGACUUUGAAAGUGAAGAAAUUGGUGUGUCCGUGAAGACUUGAUAUUCAUGCGAGGAAUAUGAAGCUUGAAGACUUUCGUUUUCAUAGUUUUGUUUUUCUCUUUCUUGAGUCAUAGGAAACACCGUACUGUUAAAGGGGGUCGAGAAAAUACUAAGGAAAAAUUUCCAUGUGAUGCUCAACUCAAAAACCUACAUCUACCAAUCCCUUCGAGUGAAGCCAUUGGAAAUCUCAUACAGUUCAGUCAAUUUCUUCAGUGACAGAGACGAAGUUCUUCUGGUCUCUAAGGAAUUUGUCCUGACUGAGGAGUUAGGAAUUCACCAGUGCGGAUUGCCUACACAGUGAGGAACAUGAUAGCCCUGAGGAUUUUACUACUCAAAAUUCUGACCGUUGUUGUGCUAUGCGCCAGCUGUCCCAAAAUAUCGAUCCACCUAACGGUCAUAUCAUUGAAGGGCAUUUAUGUCUUAUCAUGUUAGGCUACUCCCUAGGCUAUAAAUAGCCGCCCCCUACAACCACUAGCUGGUUGGCUGCUCUGAGAGAAACUGACACUUGUCAUUUGAGAGCAACCCAUCCUCCAAGGACUUUGAGCGAAAAUCAUCAAGUGAGGAAAAACCAAAAACCCAAAACCCAAACACCUACAAACCCCAAGUGAUUGAGCAUCACUAAAGAGAUUGAUCCUGAGUGGAUCCAACGCUUGUUACCUUUGAAGACUGUGCUUCUUCCAGACGGUUAGGCGUCAUGGUCUAGAGCAUCCAAGAGGAAUUGUGGAUCGCCGAGUGACCAAGUUUGUGAAGGUUUGGAAGUCGCCUAAAGACUUACCACGAGUGAUUGGACGAGGUCUGUGUGACCUUAGUUCAAGGAGAAUAUGGUGAGGACUGGGUGUCUUGGACUAAGUGUCCUUGACUGGGUGUCCGGGAUUGUGUGUCCUCGAGUUUAAAUACUCAGCCGCUCCAACCAGACGUACAACUGAGACAGCAGUUGGAAUUGGUCUACCAAAUCAUUGUCUUCAUCAAGCUUACUGGUUCUAUUUCCUUAACUCUUUCAUUUCCUCAUAACUGUGUUGUGUGCUUGUUCAUAUCUGUGUUUGAAGACCUUGACUGAAGACUUUCUCAAUUUCCUCAGUUCAAUUUCUUCAGUCUGUUUGUCUUCAUCCUGUGUUAUCCUGUGAUUACGCUUCCUGUACUCUGUGCCUGUCUUCAUUUCAUCAUGAUGACUAUGCUUGUAUUCUGUUAUGUUUACUUUUGAGUACUUAUUCCGCUGCUAGUAGUUCUUCGCUAAGGAAUUUCCUCACCUGCAAAUUCCUCAGUGAAGAAUUUCAUAAAAAUCACCUAUUCACCCCCUAGUCGAUAUAACGCACUUUCAAUUGGUAUCAGAGAAAGGUACUCCCUUGUUCUGUGUGAUUUUGGUUUAACCGCCUGGAGUUUUAGUUAUGUCGACCGCAGGUAUGACGAAGGUGACAUGCCCCAUCUUUGAUGGUCACGAGUAUCCCAAGUGGAAGGCCAUGAUGAAGAAACGCCUCAUGGCGAUGAACAGCGAGUUUUGGACCGUCACUGAAAUUGGCCUGACUGAUCUGUGCAAGAUGGCAGAUGCUGAUGACAUUCGCAAGUAUACUCUUAUCAACCUCACGGCGAAGGAUGUCAUCUGCUCCAGUCUAUCACAAAACCAGUUCAGGAAUACCAUGCAUCUCGAUCAUGCGAAGCUCAUCUGGGACCGUCUCUCUGAGGUCUAUGAAGGUCAUCGAACCUGUCAUGAUCCUUGGUUUGAGGACUUCAAGGAAUCUCUCAAAACGAUGACAUUCGAACCAGAAUCAUCAUCUUCUGCAUCAUGCCUUAUGGCAAAAGAUGCUGAGGUAACUGAAUGCAACCUAUCCGAGUCCAGUGAUGAUGAAUCUGGUGAUGAAUUUGGACCUAGCUAUGUCAAACUUGCUUCCCUUGCUACUAAACAACAAAGAGCUUUAGAAAAAGCUCACUAUAUGCUAAACAAGAGCGAUGAUAUGUUGGGUGAGGAAAUGGAUCAGUCAAAAGCUUUGGCUGAAAGUCUUCAGAGACUUCAUACUAAGUAUGACACCCUUCAAGAUCAACAUAACACUCUCUUGUCCGAUCAUGAGAAGCUUUCUUAUGAAUUUCUUCAAAGAAAGCAAGAUCUUGAAAAGCUAAGAGUGAGUUAUGAAGAUCUUCAGAAGGAGCGCGAUUCAUUACUUGCUCAACAAAUCAGCGCUUCUCAGGAAGAAUUUGUUCCACCAUGCUUGAAGUGCAUUGAACGUGAAUCUGCUAAUUCUUCACCUGAAUGUUCAAAUGUUGCUAAUGUUUCAAAUUCUUCACAUGCCUCUGCUAUCACUAAUUCCUCAUCUGAGGACAUUGCUAGUAUCACUGACAAUGCAGGGCUGAAGGAAUUGUACACGACAGGCAUGUACAAAAGCCUCAAAGGGCAUCAGGAUCUUUGUGAUGUGCUUAAAAAGCAGAUCCACAACAGGAACCCUAGGAAAGAGGGUAUCGUCUUUGAGAGGAAACUCAAUGCUGAUGGUACAUAUUGGAAGCCUGAGCAGUACCCCAAAACUACAUGGGUUGCUGCAAAGGGACCUCCAGUUGAUCCAUCUAACUUAUCUGGAUUUGCAUGUGAAUCUCCUCAUUCUGAUGAUGAGUUAGUUGACUCCAACUAUAAGCUAUUCAAAAAUCAGAAUGGUGAAGUAUUUGCUAGAUAUGUUGGCACUAACUGCAGGAACGGCUCCCCUAUGAAGAAAAUCUGGGUUCCUAAAAGAUGUCUUGAAAAUCUUCAGGUGAAUGUCAUCAUGACGCCACCUGUGAAGAAUAGGAACCCCAGAUCGAAUUCUUCAUAUGGACCAAAUUCCUCAUAUGGAGCAAAGUCCUCAUAUGAAUAUCAUUGUGCUAACCCGUCUGUUUCGCAGGGAAGAUCUAAGGAUUAUGGAUAUAUGCAUUAUUCUUCAAAUCAUUAUGUGAAACGAAAUGGACUGGCUUAUAUGUCCAUAAGUCCUCGAAGAAUUUCUCUGCAUACUCUUAUGCUUACUCUAACCCCUCUUAUGUGAAACGAAAUGGACUGGCUUCUAUGCCAUCCUUCUCGUAUGGAGCUCGCAGAAUGAUGAGCUCUUUGCCCCCCCCCCUUCCGAUGUGGGUGGUGAAGAAAAAGAACUAAUCUCUUCUGCAGGGUCAGGUCUCCAGACGCACGUAAUCGUCUGAAGAAUUUGCUGGAGACCUGAGCAUGCCUGAUAGGAUGCAGGCUAAUCAUGAAAAAAAUGAACCUUCAUUUCUCACGUCCUCAUAUUGCUUUAUCAGUUCUCUUACUUGAUGAAAUUGAUCUGAUGAAUUGAUGUCAUAUUCUUCACUGAUGAAGUAUAUGAGUUUGUAAGCUGCACUAAUUCAUCUGCAGGAUGAUCAACCCAAAGCCACUGAGUGGGUCCUCGAUAGUGGACGUACAAACCACAUGACUGGUGACAAGAAUCUAUUGAUGGAUGUUCCAUUAUCUCCGUCGCAUCUGAAGCAUAUCAUCUUUGCUGACAAAGGCAAAAGUCAGGUAUUGGGUCUAGGUAAGGUUGUGAUUACAAAGGAUCGACACAUGGACAAAGUCAUGCUUGUUGAGUCCUUAGGAUACAACCUUAUGUCUGCCUCAAUGCUUUGUGAUCUUGAUAUGGUUGUUGUCUUUGGCAAGUACCGUUGUGUUGUGGUUAUGGAAGCUGACAAUACCAAAGUCUUCGAAUGCUUUAGGAGAGGAGACCUGUAUAUUGUCGAUUUCUCUACAGGACCACAACCAGCCGUGUGCUUACUUGCAAAAGCUUCAGAAGGUUGGCUCUGACAUCGACGACUUGGUCAUGCAGGCAUGAGGAAUUUGCACACGCUUGCGAAGAAGAAGCAUGUCAUUGGCAUCGAGAAUGUCAAAUUCCUCAAGGAUCACCUAUGCGGAGCCUGUGAAGCUGGGAAGAUGACCAAGGCCAAGCAUCCAGCGAAGACUAUCAUGACCACCACUCGCCCAUUUGAAUUGCUUCACAUGGAUCUCUUUGGUCCUAAUCAUUAUUCUGCUAUUUCAAAUGAAGCAUCUCAAUAUGGCUUUGUUAUUGUUGAUGAUUAUUCUCGCUACACGUGGGUACACCUUGUUACUUACAAACAUGAAGUGCAGGAAGUCUUCAAACGAUUUUCCUCGAGGGCUUCAACCAACUUUGGUGUGAAGAUCAAGCACAUCAGAAGUGACAAUGGCACUGAGUUCAAGAAUUCUGGUCUCGAUGACUAUCUUGAUGAACUUGGUAUUACUCAUGAGUUAUCUGCUCCUUACACUCCUCAGCAGAAUGGCAUCGUGGAGCGCAAGAAUAGAACUCUUGCUGAGAUGGCUCGCACUAUGCUUGAUGAAUACAAAACGCCUCGUCGUUUCUGGACUGAGGCAAUUGAUACUGCGUGCCACAUCAUCAAUAGAGUAUAUCUUCACAAAUUCUUCAAAAAGACUGCCUAUGAACUCCUCACUGAUAAGAAACCCAAUGUAGGUUAUUUCAAAGUCUUUGGUGCUAAAUGUUGGAUUAGAGAUCCUCAUCACAACUCAAAAUUUGCACCGAAAGCACAUGAAGGUUUUAUGCUUGGUUACAGAAAGGACUCGCACACCUACAGAGUCUUCAACAAUGUUCUUCACAAAGUUGUUGAAACUGUAGAUGUGCAGUUCGAUGAAACUAACGGCUCGCAAAGAGAGCACCUACCUACUGUGAUAGAUGAACCAGCACCUGAGGAAACUAUCAAGUUCAAGGCUACUGAGGAUGUCAUUCCUACUGAAGAAUCUGCUGAAGAAUUCAUUCCAGAACAUGAAGAACGUCGAGCUAAUGCACCUGAAGAAAAUACUGAAGAAAAUGGUGCUGAAGAAAACACUGAUCAAAUUCUUCAACGACAACCAGCUCAUCCUCGCAUUGCAAAAGAAGUGCAAGUUGAAAAGAUCAUCAAUGACAUCAAAGCGCCAGGUCCUCUCACACACUCAAAAGCUUCACAUUUGUCUAACUUUUGUGGGUAGUAUGCUUUUGUCUCUAUUACAGAGCCCACUAAGGUAGAUGAAGCAUUUCUGGAGCCUGAGUAGAUUCAGGCCAUGCAAGAGGAAUUACAUCAGUUCGAGCUUAACAAUGUCUGGGAAAUGGUCAAAUGUCCAGAUCCUCGCAAGCACAAUAUCAUCGGCACAAAGUGGAUCUACCGCAACAAGCAAGAUGAAAAUGGCCUUGUGGUGAGUAAUAAGGCACGGCUUGUAGCUCAAGGCUACACACAGGUUGAAGGAAUUGAUUCCGAUGAAACUUUUGCACCUGUUGCUAGACUUGAGGCUAUUCGCAUAUUACUUGCUUAUGCUAACCAUCAUGAUAUCACUUUAUAUCAAAUGGAUGUGAAAAGUGCAUUCCUCAAUGGUAAGCUUGAGGAAGAAGUAUAUGUUGCUCAACCCCCAGGUUUUGAAGAUCCAAAGAAUCCUGACAAAGUCUUCAGACUCAACAAGGCCCUCUAUGGCCUCAAGCAGGCCCCACGGGCUUGGUAUGAUACCUUGAAGGAACUCUUCAUGAAGAAAGGCUUCAAACCCGGUUCACUCGACCCUACUCUUUUCACUAAAUCUUAUGAUGGUGAAUUGUUUGUGUGCCAAGUAUAUGUUGAUGAUAUUAUCUUUGGCUGUACUGACCAAUGUUAUAGUGAUGAAUUUGCCUAUAUGAUGAGUGAAGAAUAUCAAAUGUCUAGGAUGGGAGAGUUGAAAUUCUUCUUAGGUCUUCAAAUUCGUCAACAACACAAUGGCAUAUUCAUAUCUCAGGAGAAAUACCUCAAGGAUGUACUGAGGAAAUUCGGCAUGCAAGAUUGUAAAGGCAUCAAAAUUCCUAUGCCCACAAAUGGCCAUCUGUGCACUGAUGAAAAUGGUAUUGACUUCGAUCAUAACGUAUACCGCUCCAUGAUAGGUUCCUUAUUAUACUUAUGUGCAUCUAGGCCAGAUAUAAUGCUUAGUGCUUGCAUGUGUGCCCAAUUUCAAGCUGCACCGAAGGAAUCACACCAUAAGGCUGUGAAGCAUAUUCUUCGAUAUCUAGCUCACACACCAAAACUUGGAUUAUGGUACCCCAAGGGCUCGGCUUUUGAUCUUGUUGGAUAUUCUGACUCUGACUAUGCUGGUGAUCGUGUGGAUCGCAAGUCAACAUCUGGUACAUGUCAUUUCCUCGGACGAUCUUUGGUCUGUUGGUCCUCGAAGAAACAGAACUGCGUAUCACUAUCUACUGCUGAAGCUGAGUACAUUGCCGCUGGUUCUUGCUGUGCCCAACUGCUAUGGAUGAAGCAAACUCUCAAGGACUAUGGCGUCAACAUGAAGAAUGUGCCUCUCUUCUGUGACAAUGAGAGUGCCAUCAAGAUUGCUCACAACCCAUUUCAGCACUCGAAGACAAAGCACAUUCAGAUUCGUCAUCAUUUUCUUCGUGAUCAUGUGUUGAAGGGCGACAUUUCUAUUGAGCAUGUGAAGACUGAAGAACAGCUAGCCGAUAUCUUCACAAAGCCCUGAUGAGAAGAGAUUUAGCAAGUUGCGGUGUGAGCUAAAUAUCCUAGAAUCUUCGAAUGUUCUUUGAAAAGGACACUCAUCCUAACACUUAUGCAAAAUUGAUGACUUAGAUGUGCAACACAUGAAGAAACGUUCUUCUUCAAUCAAUGAAGAAUAACACUCUUAGUGUGAAGAAAUUAACGAAGAAUUUGAUUCUUAGAACCCUACGAUAAUUGUACGCGGUGUCUGAAAUCAUCAUUCUUAUACGAUGGGUCACGCCACCAUCAAAAGUUGAAAUUCCUCAAGUUAUUCAUAUUCUUCAACUUUGCAUAGUCUUCAUUGGUUCCAUCGUUUUUCUUCAUUGGCUAUAUAUAUAUGAGUUUAUGUCCUCUAUAGCAUUCACUUAUUGCUAUUUCUUCAAGUUGGUUUUCUGCUAAGUGAAUGUGAUCGGACCCUUCCCCUCUAUGUUAUACUCAACCCAAUCUGUUCACAAAUUCUUCAUGUGCGUUCUAUUUGAAACUCGUUCAAAAUCUUCACUGUGUCCUUGACAGCUGAAGAAAGUGCGAACGGAACUUUAAAACCUAUCUUAUCAAAAAUUUCGGUUUUGCCGCUCAAACCGUUCCGCAUCCCACGAUACACUUAUCCACUCACCCACGAUCUAACACGAUCUCCACCUCUCACUACGUGGGUGACACAUGUCAUGCGAAUGAGAAGGGUCAGGGGCACGUUCGUCCAAUUUCUUCGGGCGAGCAGUUUUUCACCGUGGCUAUAAAUACCCCCUCCUUCCCUCCUUCACUUCUUUUACUCCGCUCGACCUCUCUCUCCAGCUCGAGCUUCUCAAACCCUAGCGCCGUCGCUACUUCAUCGCCGCUGGUGAGGAAGAGCUUCACUGCCUCGACCUCGUCGCCGACGUACUCGCGCUGACCGCGGACAUCUUCACUGUCGGGUGGUAGGUGCGACAUGCCAACGGGUGGCUUAUCAUUGUGGGAGCCAGUAAGACAUCGUCGGUGCCUGGAAACGGGAUGAGGCGAAGACAUGCACGCCGGCGGAUCUUACCCAGCUUCGGGGCUCUCCGUGGAGAUAACACCCCUACUGCUGCUCUGCGGGGUCUCCGCAUGUUCACUAGAUGAAUCAAGUGGCUACACAACGCUCCUUGAGCUGUUUGGGGGAAGGAGGAAGAAGGGCACGGCUAGCCUGCUUCUUCUCCUUGUGUGGUGUCUAGAACUAGCAAAGGGUCCAACCCUUUGCAUGGGUGCUCCGGGGGGUUUAUAUAGACCUACCCCCCGGGGGUACAAUGGUAAUCCGACUGGGCACGGGGCCCAGCCGUCUGUGACUGCGCUUGCCGGCUCCUGUGCCGGCUGCUGGGGCCCGCCGACUGGUGGGUCCCGCCGGUUGCCGGCCCCUUGGUCGACAGGCAGGCCCCACUGUCCAGGGCCUGGUCUGCGGCUGGUUACUGUGGCUUCAUCUUGUUGACGUGAGCUUCAUCGUGGUAAGCGUGGCUACAGUACCGCUGCCUGUCAGGCGAUCGCUGUAGCCUUACCGCGUCUUCUCUCCUUAAUGGGGCGUCCUCUUCGAGGGAAGCGGCAAGCCGGCUGCGGGGAGCCGGCUCUGUCUUGGGCCGACUGGUUGGAGGCGUGGCCGUCUUCGGGUGUCUCUCUACUCAAAGGGGCCCACUGUCUGUGGGCCACGCUGGCGACCCGUCGUGGGUGAUGCCAGGGUCAACAUGGCAACAGUGCCGCGCCGGACGGGUCAUGCCUACCCCGUACGGCGUAUUGUGCCAAGCGUGCCCCGGGAUUCGGGGGUGGCAGGCUUUACUGUAGCCACGCCCCGUCGCACCGCCGUUAGGUGGGUGCAAACUUUCGUGGGUACGGUCUUGACCGCUUUAUGGGGAGCCGGCUUCCUGGAGUCGGCCUUCUCAUGGCCGGCUUCUUGGAGUCGGCCUUCUCAUGAGGGCUAAAGUCGGACCGCCUUCCGAAAGCCGGCCUGGGUGGCAGCCAGCAAGGGGAAGGCGGCCCCUAUGUCUUGAAUUCUUGAGAGCCGGGCGGGCUCGUAAUUUUUUCAGAAGGGCCAGGGGAAGCCGGCUAGGCUACCCAUGGCUAUUUACUCCGACAGUAGUCCCCGAAGCUGAUCGAGCUCCGAGGCGAGCAGGGGGACGAGAAGCUUGGUCAGCUUCCCAUCCUGAAGAGCCGGCUUUUGCGGGCGUAUGCCGACUUCAGAGAGCCCCGCAUCUUACAGGCGGGAGGAGGGGGGACCUGCGUGCUGACUACGGGCCCCCCCGGCGGCCACGUGGCAGCGAGAUCCUGCGAGCGCACGCGCGCGACCGGACGCCGCCGCAGGCCCGGGCCCGCCACUCGCGAGCCUUGGUCCGGGCGCGGAUCCUCCGUGGCCCACAGGGGCCGCUCGCCUUCCCGAGGUAGUUUCGUUUCGCCGUUAAGGCUCAAUAAUCACGGGAUGUGGGGAGUGGGCACGAUUGAUCCCCACGCUUCCCCACGCCGCGCCUCCUCGGCUCCACCACGUGAGUCUAUAAGUAGGGGGAGGAGGGAGAGCAACAGAGGUUCACACGCUCUCUCCCGCUCCGCCCCUCCCAACCCUUGUUUCUUCCUCUCGCUGCCGUCGCAGCUUCCCGUCUCAGCGCCGCCGUGUUUCUACACCGCCUCGCUCCCAUGGCGUUGUCAAGCUCGUGGGACGGCUCCAACGUUCAUGACGACCAUGUGGAGUUCCUCCACCAGACUCGGUGCCUGCCCGGCGCCGACCUCGUACAGGUCCGCCUGGCGCCGGAGAAGGAGAUCUCGCCGGCACCGGAGGAGGGCGAGCGGGUCGUCUUCCGCUCGCACUGCCUGCGCGGCUUUGGCCUUCCGGCGAGCGGAUUUCUGUGCUCUUUCCUGGAAUUCUACAAUCUCCAGCCGCAUCACCUCACGCCCAAUGCGGUGAUGCUGCUGUCGGCCUUCGUCUCCCUCUACGAAGGCUUCUUGGGGCUGCUCCCCACGCUGGAGCUCUAGGGAGAGUUCUUCCAGAGCAAGCUCGGCACAGUCGUCGGCGGCAUGCCCGCCCCCUGCGGGGCCUUCAUCGCCAUGAGGAGGGCGAGCGAGAACAACCCGUUCCCGCCCAUCCCCCUGAUCCAGUCGGUGAAGGUCUGGCAGAGAUCGUAUUUCUACGUGAAGAACGUCGCCGAGCAAGGAGACUACAUCAACCUGCCGGCUUACGUAGCCGGCCCGCCGGCUGGGAGGCAGCCCUCGUGGAGCUUCCGGUCCCGGUCAUUGUCUCCGGCCGGGAACGCCGCCAUCUCCCGGCAUCGGGUGAUGAUUCAGUCGGAAGGCCUGCGCGGGGCCGACUUGGUGGCCGCCUUCGUGGAGCGCCGGAUCCUUCCUCUCCAAAGCCGGCCCCAUAUGAUGUGUCAGAUGAGCGGCCGCUUCGACCCAAGCCGGCUGAGCACAUGGGAAAUGCCCCACGCGGAGGUGGCGCUCAUGGUUAACUACAAUGCCAACUGCAAGCUCGCCGGGGACUGGCAAUACGGCAAGGUGCCGUAUUCUCGCGCCAAUCCUCCGCCCGUGGUAAGCUUCUCUCUCUGUCUUCUUUCUGUCGUCGGCCGGCUUCAUGACGGCCGGCUUCUUACCAGUCGGUUCUUUUGAGCAGAACCCUCUUCUUGCGCCGCCGGCCGGGGCGGCGGGGAUUGAACGCCAGUAUGCCCCCGACCGCACGGUGGAUGACGUUGACCACCCGGACUUGGGGGCGGCCGCCAUGGAAGACGCCGUCGUGGGGGACAGUGCCGAGCCUGGAGGCUCAAGGUUCACCGCGAGCUUCGAGGACUGGCCGGACGAAUUCGAAGCCGAAGUUGCCCCGCAUCGCUAGCCGGCGGCUGACCAUCAGGGCGCGGGCUCGUCUACCGCGCCGGCUGCCGGCGGUGGCGCACAGAAGCGCCAGGCCGCUUUAGGCCUCUUCGGCAAUCGGCCGAAGAAGUCCAAAGCCUCCGCCGCGGCGACCAAGCGAGAUGAGGCGGCUGCGAAAGCGGCCCGCUUCCGCAAGGCGGUGAAACAGCCUCCGGCGGUCUCAGCGUAAGUCUUCAACUGCCUUGCCGCACGCUCGUCAUCAUUCUCUUUCUCUUCGAAUAUUCUUCUUAUCCUUUUUCUCGCUUGCUGGACAGGGCGCCACUUUCCCUUGAGCGGGGUCCGGGCGGCUCCAUCGUGGGGCCGGCUGGAGGGUCUUCGAGCUCCCGCCGCAUGGACCCCCAUGCCGAUCUCAGGGAGGCCAUAGAGCGGAACGCCCGCGAAGCGCGGGAGGAGCACGAGGCGGCGGAAAAGGCGGCCGCCCAGGCGGCGAGGGAGCAGGCCGACGCGGCAGCCAAGGCCCAGACGGAGGCGGCUACCGCGGAGACGGAGGCGGAAAGCUCGCGCAACCAGUCUCCGCUGCUCGCCAUUCCUCUCCGAGCCGUAGCCCCCGACACCCCAUUGCCCUUGGCGGAGGAGAUCGUCCAAGACCCGCCGCUGUUGGAGAGGGGGGAGGACCCCGUGGCCUUGGUGGGGAGAGCGCCGCCAGCAGCGCCAACCGGAGCGGGCCAAGGCGGUCAAUCGUCAGCGGCGCCAGAGGGGCCGGCCGGAGGUGAGCCGGAGAACAGAGCCGGCCUCGAGGUGCAGCCGGCGACGGGCCGGCGCGCAGGGGGAGGCGCCGCUCCGCCGGAGUUGCGUCGAGCCGCGGGCGCAGGCCAGUCGGUGGAAGAUCUGGAGGCGGCCAGCACUGCCACGUCCGAGUGGACUCCCAGCGGGGGAACUGGCGAGCUGAAUGUGGCGGCUCAAGGGGUCCGGAGCCGGCUGCAAGCUCAGGCCGCCCUGCUGCAACAGUUCACCCAGGAGUUCUUGUCAACGCGAGCCACUAUCCGGGUGAGUCCUUCAUUCUUGGCUGCUUUGCUUUCUUAAUUUCUUCUGUGGGGGCGCGUUAGCGCACCCACUGGGUGUAGUCCCCAAGAUUCGGGCCGACUGCUGCGCAGUCGGGUCGGAUCUUUCUCGACGACUAUCUUACUUUGCUUUUUUCUGAACUUUCAGGAAUACCACAACCUUCAUGCUGCCGCCUUCAACUCCCAGGCUUGGGAGUUGAGCCGGCGGACCGACGACCUGGCCGACAGCCGAAGUAAGCACUUGGUUUUGUCUGUCUCCUGUGGGGGCACGUUAGCGCACCCACUGGGUGUAGUCCCCGAGAUUCGGGCCGACUGCAGCGCAGUCGGGUCGGAUCUUUCUUGACGACUCAUUCUUAUUGGUUUUUCUUUUUCUUUGUCUUCAGGGGCCAACGCCGACUUGAGGAAGGAGCUUGGCGAAGCGAAAGCCGCCCUUCAUACCAAGGAGGCCGAGUGCGCCGCCUUGGUCCAGGAACGGGAUCGCUUAGCCAAGAAGCUGGCUGACCAAGAGGAGAGCCACAAAGCGGCCCUGCAGGCGGCGCAGGAAAGCGAAGCCGCCUUGAAGGCGGAGUAUGAGACCGAGGCGGCGAGCUGGUCUGAGACCCGGCGAGCCCUGGACGAAGGCUUCGGCCGGAUCGAGGACUUGAUCGACGGUAAGUUGCCUUCCUCGGCCCUCCCCUGCCCCUUGCCGCUUGGGUUUUUUGACUUAUCUUGAACUGUUGCUUGUUUUUGAUGCAGACUACUUCCCCGGCUACUCCGCCUUCGCUGCCCAAAGCAUUGAGACCCAUCACGAGGCGCGUUGACAGGCGGGAGCCAACAUCGCGCCGGAUGCAAACCGGACACUUGAGGAGCAGCUCCUGGCUGUCCAGGCGCGGUUGCAGCCGGCUCAUCGGAUGCUUCGCCGGCUCCAACAUGCUGGGGCGCAAGUGUUGGCCGCCCUCUGGCCCGGUGAACGAUCCCCCGCACCCCAAGCCGCACUGCCGACUGGCUGGAGGUCGCAGUUGGUCGCUUUGAGGCUUGGAAGGCGUCGGCGGCCCGCCUCGGAGCCGGGCAGGCGUUGGAGUUCGUUCGGGCUUGGUACCCUGGGCUGAGCCUGGACCAGCUGUGCACUUGGCGGAUGGAGGCCGACGCGGAGCUGGAGGAGGUGACGCCGGCUAUCGCCCAGCGAGCUUCGACGAUCGCCGAGUGCACCGACAUCAGCAUUUUCGCACCCGAAAUUGAUGAUGACGGUGUUGCUCAGCCGGAGGAGUGGUUCGGGCUGAACUCGGCGGAGGAGAUUGCCUCCAGCGACGAAGGCGAGGACGACGAAGAGGAGGACGGCGAAGACGUCGAGCCAGCUGCUGGAACAAACGGCCGACCUCAGGCCGACCGUGCCUCCGGCAACAAGGCGCGUGGAAGCGCGCCCUCUGCGGGAGGCGGUGACAAAGCCGAAGUUCGCCAGCCGGCCGCUCCUUCAGCCGGCAUGACCGUCUCCGCCAACCAGUCUGGCUCGUCGGCCGCUCUGCCAGAUUGACCUGCCGUCUUUAUCUUUCCUGCCUUGUUGUCUUUGAACAAUCUUUGUUAAGUUUUCGCAGUUCCACCCACUGGGGGUGUAUCCAAACUAUGUUGAAUGCUGGCCUCUCGGAGGUCUUUUUUAUGUAAAUAUUAUCAUGUGCAUGUUUGGUUUCCAUUCGCGUAUGCUUUUUUAUCCUUAGGCUUUUUCCUUUGCCGCCUUCCCUCUUUGGGGAGGCAAGUACUUGAGCUUUCUUGGAUUGAAGUGAAGUGAAUGGAAACCGGCCGGCCGGCUACUCUGGUAGCAGUCGGCGGUGUGAGAAAAACCGGCUUUUGUUAUAUUAGUCCGUUAGUCCCUAGCCGUUUUUCGUGUGGGCGCCCGUUCCUGCCUUUAACUCUUGCCAGCCGGACAGACGGUUCUUCGAACUGCGACUUUUGGCAAGAGAAGGCUUGGGAGCCGGCACACUACUUGUCUGACUGCGGGUAGGACUUCUAACAUAACUCCAGUCGGUCAGUCCCUGAGCCGACUAGUCGAACUCGGUGCCGGACGGAAUAAGUAAAUGACGCGACAAGGUCAUAAACAUGAUACUUUUCAUUCAUAGAUAAGGGAUGGCAGUCCUCGAGCCCUCCUCGGGGAGCCUAUUGUCUUGUACUUAAUACAAAAGUUAGCGCGGUACAUACUGCAUUUCAACUGUAAAAUCUUCGGAGGAGGUUGGCGUUCCAUGGUCGUUCCGACUCCUUGCCGGAGUCGUCUCUCUUGCGCGCCUUCGGCUUCUGUGCGUCGAUCUGGUAGUAGGAGUCGUUGCCUAGAGCUCUGCUGAUGACGAAGGGGCCUUCCCAAGGGGCUGAGAGCUUGUGCUGGCCGGCUGUUCGCUGGAUCAGCCGGAGCACAAGAUCGCCCUCUCGGAAAGAUCUUGGCCUGACUUUCCGGCUGUGGUAGCGGCGCAAACUCUGCUGGUAGAUGGCAGACCGGCUGAGGGCUAACAGCCGGCUUUCUUCCAGCAGGUCGACGCCGUCUUCUCAUGCUUCCUUGGCCUCCUCUUCCGUGUACAUGGUUACUCGAGGCGAGUCGAACUCGAUGUCAGUUGGGAUGACCGCCUCGGCACCAUACACAAGGAAGAAAGGGGUGAAGCUUGUUGACUUGUUUGGUGUAGUGCGCAGACUCCAGAGGACAGCCGGCAGCUCAUCGAGCCAACAGCUGGCUGAGCGCUCCAGAGGUUCGACCAGUCGAGGCUUGAUACCGGAGAGGAUGAGGCCGUUGGCUCGCUCGACCUGGCCGUUUGACUGCGGGUGGGCGACGGAUGCUAAGUCCAGCCGGAUACCUUGGGCUGCACAGAAACGUGCCAAGGCUCCUUUGGCAAAAUUCGUGCCAUUGUCGGCGAUGAUGUUGUGCGGCACGCCGUACCGAGUUGUUAUGUCUGCGAUGAACAUCAUGGCAGUCGGCCCAUUCAGCUUCUUGAUCGGCUUUGCCUCAAUCCACUUGGUGAAUUUGUCCACGGCGACUAGUAAAUGUGUCAUGCCGCCGCGCGCCGUCUUGAAUGGGCCCACCAUGUCCAGUCCCCAAACGGCGAAGGGCCAAGUGAGGGGAAUGGUCUUGAGUGCUGAAGCCGGCACGUGUUGCUUGGAGCUGAAGAGUUGGCAUCCCUUGCAAUGUUUGACUAAUUCUUUGGUGUCAUCCAAAGCAGUCGGCCAGAAGAAACCAUGGCGGAAGGCUUUGGCGACAAGUGAUCUUGAGGCCGCAUGGUGGCCGCAUUCUCCUUGGUGAAUGUCUCUGAGGAUUGCGAUGCCCUUCUCUUGCUCGACGCACGGUUGGAGGAUUCCAGUGACACUGCGCUUGAGUAGUUCUCUGUUGACGAUCGUGUACGCUCCGGCUCGAUGCUGGACUUGUCUUGCUUCUGUUUCGUCAGCCGGCAGGUCUUGGUUUACUAGGAAGUUGAGGAUGGACUGAGCCCAUGACGGAGCCGCGACUUCUCCUACUGCCAAUGUGGCUACUGCUACCAGGGUGGGCGGGCUGGGCGGUGAGCUGCUGGAGUCGGCCGCUGGCUGUAGUGCUGGUGCAGUCCCCGGGCCGGCUACCGCAGUCCCCGAGCCGGUCGCCGAAGUCCCCGAGCCGGCUGCCGAAGUCCCCGAGCCGGCUGCCGAAGUUGCCGGGCCGGCUACGGGGGUCUUGGGGUAGCCUACUUGGUUCUUCGAGCCGGACCCGACCGCAUCGGGGUCAGGCGGCACGAAGAUGGAAUCAGACUCCGGAGAUGGCUUGAUGGACGGCUUGAGGAGGCGUUGUAAAGCGACGCUGGUUGGAAUUGCUUGCCGAGUGGAGCCUAUUCGAGCUAGGGCAUCGGCUGGCUCGUUGUCGGCUUGUGGUACGUGGAGGAACUGGCAUCCUUCAAAGUAUCCGCUGAGUUGUUGGACCAGGAAGCGGUAGCUCGCCAUAUUCACGUCCUUGGCGUCCCAGUCGCCGGAUGAUUGCUGGACCACUAGGUCCGAGUCACCAUAACAUAGGAUCCGGCGAAUGCCAAGUUCUUUGGCAAGCCGGAGCCCGUGUAUGAGCGCCUCGUACUCGGCCACAUUGUUGGAGGCGGCAAAGUGAAUCUGUAGCGUGUAUCUGAGUUUGUCGCCUUUCGGACAGGUAAGGACGACGCCGGCUCCCAAGCCGGUGCGCAUCUUGGACCCGUCGAAGUGCAUGCGCCAAUGGGUGGAGUCGGGAGCCGGCGGCAGGUACUGGGUCUCGGCCCAGUCGACGAGGAAGUCGGCCAGUGCUUGGGACUUGAUGGCAGUGCGCGGCUGGUAGAAGAUCGUGUAGGGGGCCAGCUCGAUGGCCCAUUUUGCCACCCAGCCGGAUGCGUCCCGGCUGCCUAUGAUCUCGGCUAGCGGGGCGGUGCAUACGACCGUGACGGGAUGCUCUUGAAAGUAGGGCUUCAGCUUCUUGGCGGUGAAGUACACGCCGUAACACAUCUUCUGGUAGUGCGGGUAGUUCUGCUUUGAGGCGGACAGCACCUCGCUCAAAUAAUACACCGGCCUCUGGACCGGCUGGGCUCGGCCUUCUUCUGGGCGCUGGACUACAAUGACGGUGCUGACCACCCGGCUGGUUGCGGCAAUGUAGAGGAGCAUGGGCUCUUUCUUAGUCGGUGCCGCGAGGACAGGCGGCGUGGCCAGCAUCUUCUUCAGCUCGUGAAAAGCUUGGUCGGCCUGGUCGUUCCACUCGAAGUGAGUGCUCUUCUUCAUGAGGUGGUAGAGGGGGAGAGCUUUCUCUCCGAGCCGGCUGAUGAAGCGGUUCAAGGAGGCCAAGCACCCGGUGAACUUCUGAAUGUCUCGAAGCUUGGUAGGGAUCGCUAUUCUCUCGAUGGCCUUGAUCUUCACCGGGUUGCAUUUGAUGACGCGUUCGGAGACCAGGAAGCCUAGGAGCUGGCCGGCUGGCACCCCGAACACGCAUUUCUCGGGGUUAAGCUUGAUUUGGAACCGACGUAGGUUCUCAAACGUUUCCUUGAGGUCUCCCAGCAAGGUGCUGCGCUUCUCUGUCUUCACCACGAUGUCGUCCAUGUAAACGUGAGCGUUUCUGCCAAGUUGCUUGAGGAGGCACUUCUGCAUGCAACGCUGAAAAGUGGCACCGACAUUUCUCAAGCCGAAUGUCAUGGUCAGGUAGCAGAAGGCUCCAAAUGGCGUGAUGAAGGCGGUCUUCAGGCGGUCGUCCGGGUCUAGCUUUAUCUGAUGAUAUCCGGAGUAAGCAUCCAAAAAACUCAACAGCUCGCAUCCGGCUGUGGAGUCUAUCACUUGGUCAAUCCUUGGCAGGGCAAAAGGAUCUUUGGGGCAGGCCUUGUUGAGGCUCGUGUAGUCUAUACACAUGCGCCACUUGUUGUUCUUCUUUAGCACAAGGACCGGGUUGGCGAGCCACUCUGGAAAGAAAACUUCCAUGAUGAAGCCGGCUGCCAAGAGUCAGGCUAUCUCCUCCCCUACAAUCCUGCGUUUCUCCUACGACAGUCGACGAAGGGGUUGUCUGACUGGCUUUGCGUCUUCUCGAACGUGUAGUUUGUGCUCGGCGAAUUUCCUCGGAACACCCGGCAUGUCCUUGGGGGGCCAUGCAAAGAUGUCCCGAUUCUCAUGGAGGAAAUCGGCGAGCUCGCCUUCCUAUUUGCUGUUCAGGUUUGCCCCGAUGACGGCAAACCUCUCUGGAUGCUCGGGGUCAAGAGGUAUCUUCUUCGUCUCUUUGGCCGACUGGAAAGAUCCUUGAGCGUCAUGCUCCUUGGGGUCAGGGGACACGGCCGGCUGCUUGCCGGCUAUGGCCACGACUCGGUCCAGCAUCUUCUUCUCUUCGGCAAUCACAAGGGACUCGGCUAGCCGGCUGCUGGCUGUUGCGCACUCGGAGGACUUCUUGUAAUCGCCGGCUAUGGUGAUGACGCCUUUGGUGCUUGGUAUCUUCAUCUUGAGGUAUGCAUAGUGGGGGACUGCCAUGAAUUUGGCCAAGGCAGGUCGGCCAAGCAAUGCAUGGUAAGGGCUCUCCAGGUCCACCACUUCAAACCAGAUCGCUUCUCGGUGGAAAUGCUCCUUGUCCCCAAAAAGCACAUCGAUCUUGAUUUUGCCAAUGGGGGCGCAGGAUAAGCCCGGUACGAUGCCAUGAAACACUGUCCGAGUAGGCGUGAGCUGCUUCGUCUUGACGUUCAGCUUUUCCAGGGUGUCACGGUACAGGAUGUUGAUGCUGCUCCCGCCGUCUAUCAACACACGGGAGAAGCGGGUGGCGCAUCUGUCCAUUGCAAGGGUGGCUUCCAAGACCAAAGCAUAAGAGCCGGGAGACGGCAUCACCUCCGGAUGGUCGGCCCCGCUCCAGCUGAUGGGCUUUUCUGACCAAUGCAUGUGCCCGGCGGGGUUGGCAGCGACCAUGCUGACUUCCUGGUGCUCUCGGCGUUUGCUGCGCCGGUCUUCGGGCUGGCUGAUGAAGAUGAUGUAGGUUGCUUGCUCGUCAGGGAACUCGUCAUGCACGGCUCCGACUGCGGGCCGAGCGGCCAGAGGCGGCGGAGGCGAAGGCGGUGGGCCGGCAGGCGGAGGCGGUGCGAGCCCUUCGCCUUUAGAAAUUCGGGUGAGCCAAUGGCACUUCCGGGUCGUGUGGUUGGACGGCUUCGCGCCGCUGUGGAACUUGCAAGGGGCGUCGAGAGUCUGCUCGUAGGAGAGAGUGGGCUGCCAAGCCGGCCUGCCGCCCUUGGGUUUCUUUGGCGCCGGUCGCUCUUCGGGCGGCGCGUCUUCGACUGUGGCCACCUGCCGACUGGAGGGAGGCGGUGCGGGGCCCUUGCGCUUGUGGUCGUUCGAGUGGGGGUGUCGGCCGGAAUCCCCAGCCGGCGUCUUGGGCGCCGGGUUGAGUACCUUUCCGGACGCGUCCACCCGAAGCUCGGUCUUCAUCGAGGAGUCAGCGGUGGCGUACUUGUCCGCUAUGUCCAGAAGCUCGUCGAGGGUAGCCGGCUCGUCGCAGAGGAGCUUGUGCUUGAGGAGGGUGCCUUCGCGGCAUCCGGCUGUGAAGUAUUCUAUGGCUUGCACCUCGUGCAGCCCUUCACAGGAGUUGCGGAGCUCGGCCCAACGCAUGAGGUAAUCACGAGUGGACUCGGCGGGGCCUUGCACGCACAAGGAGAGCUGUCUGGGCUUGGGAGCCCGCUUGUAGGUGCUGGUGAAGUUGCGGAUGAAAGCUUCUGUGAAAUCUAGCCAGUUGUUGAUGCUACGCGGCUUGAGGCUGUUGAGCCAGGUCCGCGCCGUGCCUUGCAGCAUGAGGGGCACGUACUUCACGGCAACGCGUCGGUUGCCGUUGGCUAUGCUAACCGCCGUGGAGUAGUCGAUCAACCAAUCUUUCGGCUUCCUGGAGCCGUUGUACUUGGGCGUGUCUCUUGGGAGCGAGAACCCUUUGGGAAAGGGCUCGUCGCGGAUGCGGGGGCCGAAACAAGGCGGGCCGACAUCGUCUUCUUCUUCCAACGCCAGGGAUCGCGCCAGGCGGUCGAUCCGAUGGCGGGCGUCGUUCUCGCCGAUUCCUUCGCGGCGGCCCAGCCGGCCGCUGAGAGUCGGGUGCGCCACUGGCGGCGGGGCGAGAUAUCUCUCUCCACGGGGCGGAGGCGGAGGCGGGUCGCCACGCCAUUCCAUGGCUCGGGGAUGGCCGUCCGUGUCUCGCUCGAUGGAGAUUCGGGUCCGGCUACGGCUGGCAGCCGGCUCUUUCUCGCGCCGCGCGCGGGUGUCGCUCGUAGCCGGCGUCCAGGACGUCGCGCCGUGAUCUCGGCGCGGGGGAGGGCUUCCCGCGCGGGCAUCUGCUUCGUGCCGCUGCGCGGCUGUGUCGAUCAGUUGCUGGAUGCGCCGGGUCAUGUGGGGGAGGUCUUCGGCCUCCAAGCCGUCCAACUCGUCUACGGCCGCCUGGGCGGCAUGCAAGUCCUCGAGCGGCGUGGCAUAGACCGGGUGGUCGACUCCCAGUGUGUCGGUGAUGACGGCGCCGCGUUGCUUGAGAAGGCCGGCCCGGCUCGGCCCGCCUGGGGCCGGUGUGCCGAAGGCGGCGCGGUCAGCUUCGCGCUGGUAGGCCUCAGUGAGGCGUCUUACGGAAGCCAGCCUCCGGCCCUCUGCGAGGAGGGCGAGGCGGCGUGCCUCCAGUGCUUCGUCGUCGGCAUCAGCCGGGAGGGGAGCGGACAAGUCGUGUGCCGCCGUGCGCAAGGCGUCGCGGGCGCUCUCGUCGGCCGGGCCAUCGUGGCCGACAACCAUCACUUCGGUGGUGACAGCAUCGCAGCCGUCGGCUCGAGGAAGCGGGUCGUUGUAGAUCAUGACGUUGGUGGGGAAGGUGUCGUAGGAGGCCGUGUCGGAGUCGACAGGCAUCGGGUCGGUGGAGCCAACCGACUCCAGGUCCACAACGGGCUCGCCGGAGACAUGGAGCUGGCCGAGAAGGUUGGCGAGGCGGUCGGUGCCUGCAUCGGAGGCGAGCUCGUCGGAGAUGAGAGUUUUGUCGAGGAGAUCGGCGAGGCCGCUUGCCGUGCAGAUGCUGGUGACGCCUUGCAGCGCGUCGUGGCAAGCGCCAUCGGGCGUGCCGGGCUGGCUACGCUCACGGGGGAGGAAGAAGGUUCCCGUCCAGAACGGGUCUCCGGACGACUGUGCACCUGGCCCCACGAUGGGCGCCAAAUGUUGGGUGGUAGGUGCGACAUAUGCCAAUGGGUGGCUUAUCAUUGUGGGAGUCAGUAAGACAUCGCCGGUGCCUGGAAACGGGAUGAGGCGAAGACAUGCACGCGGCGGAUCUUACCCAGCUUCGGGGCUCUCCGUGGAGAUAACACCCCUACUGCUGCUCUGGCGGGUCUCCGCAUGUUCACUAGAUGAAUCAAGUGCCUACACAACGCUCCUUGAGCUGUUUGGGGGAAGGAGGAAGAAGGGCACGGCUAGCCUGCUUCUUCUCCUUGUGUGGUGUCUAGAACUAGCAAAGGGUCCAACCCUUUGCAUGGGUGCUCCGGGGGGUUUAUAUAGACCUACCCCCCGGGGGUACAAUGGUAAUCCGACUGGGCACGGGGCCCAGCCGUCUGUGACUGCGCUUGCCGGCUCCUGUGCCGGCUGCUGGGGCCCGCCGACUGGUGGGUCCCGCCGGCUGCCGGCCCCUUGGUCGACAGGCAGGCCCCAUUGUCCAGGGCUUGGUCGGCGGCUGGUUACUGUGGCUUCAUCUUGUUGACGUGAGCUUCAUCAUGGUAAGCGUGGCUACAGUACCACCGCCUGUCAGGCGAUCGCUGUAGCCUUACCGCGUCUUGUCUCCUUAAUGGGGCGUCCUCUUCGAGGGAAGCGGCAAGCCGGCUGCGGGGAGCCGGCUCUGUCUUGGGCCGACUGGUUGGAGGCGUGGCCGUCUUCGGGCGUCUCUCUGCUCAAAGGGGCCCACCGUCUGUGGGCCACGCUGGCGACCCGUCGUGGGUGAUGCCAGGGUCAACAUGGCAACAGUGCCGCGCCGAACGGGUCAUGCCUACCCCGUACGGCGCACUGUGCCAAGCGUGCCCCCGGAUUCGGGGGUGGCAGGCUUUACUGUAGCCACGCCUCGUCGCACCGCCGUUAGGUGGGUGCAAACUUUUGUGGGUACGGUCUUGACCGCUUUAUGGGGAGCCGGCUUCCUGGAGUCGGCCUUCUCAUGGCCGGCUUCUUGGAGUCGGCCUUCUCAUGAGGGCUAAAGUCGGACCGCCUUCCGAAAGCCGGCCUGGGUGGCAGCCAGCAUGGGGAAGGCGGCCCCUAUGUCUUGAAUUCUUGAGAGCCGGGCGGGCUCGUAAUUUUUUCAGAAGGGCCAGGGGAAGCCGGCUAGGCUACCCAUGGCUAUUUACUCCGACAUUCACUACACCGCCGCCGUAGCCGUCUUCCUCUGCCAAGUUAGGGCGUGGAAGAUCUGCACAGACGAACUUCACAUCUCCUCACUCCAGUUCGUCGUGUUCUUCGUCUAGGGUAAUUAAAAGUUACUUUUACUGCCCUCGUUGAUUCGAAUGAUUAUCUACAAAAUCUUCAAAAGUGUUUUUCUUCAUAUCUUCACACACUGAACACCUCACAAGUCAUCCGUUCUUGAUUCAUUUCUCUAAGCAUCAUUUUUCUUCAAGAUUCCUCAAUUGUGUGGAUCUUCGAUCUAUACAACUCUGGAACCUAAGACAAAGAACGCUUAGUGAAAAUCUUCAAGACUCAUCUGGUCAAAUUCCUCAAACUUGUUCAUUUUGAAAAACCUUCUGAGAACGCAUAUGACCUCUCCAAAUUCCUCGCAACUAUACUCUGUUCACAGGUACACAUGUCAGCUGCUGAAUCACUAGGUUCUCAUCAACUUAACUCAUUUGCAGCGUUCCUCGAAGAAAAGUUGCAUACUUCUUCAGAGAAUUCGAUUGUUCAAAUUCCUCAACUGAAGAAAAUGGCUGAUGGUAAAAGGCCAUAGAAGGGAGGAAAGAGGCCUGAGGUAAAUACAACGUUUGAAAUCCCUGAUGACAUAUAUGCUGGGUACUGCACACCUACCGAGGAAACCAAGAAUGAGCGCAAAGUGCGCAUUCAGAAGAUAGAGAGGAGAUGGGCAAGAGAAUGGAGGGAGUACAGAUAUGUCACUCCUAAGUAUAUGAAGAAAUUCGCACUCAAUCCUCCAUGCCCAAGAGCACCACUGGCACCUGGCCAAAUUGCUGAUCCCACCAGUCUUAAGCGCGGUGAGGACUAUCCUGAUGAAUGGGCCAAGUGCCAAGGCAAGUUGGCUAAGCAAGCCAAAGAAGCAGUGAGGAAAUUAAAUGAAGACUCUGCUGAUGUUGUUGCCUCUGCUGAGGUCCUUGUUGUCAAGCCAAAGAAGGCUAUGUCAAAGAAGCCUGCGCGCAAGCCAAGUGCUUCCUCAGUAAUGCCCUCACGGCCAGAAUCAUCAAAGCCCUCAGGGCCAAUUCCUCAUGCUGCUCCUGUUCCUCCAAAGUCCUCAGCUCCUCCGCCAAAGCCUUCAGUUGUUUCGACCAAAUCCUCAGCACAUGUGCAUCUCGCUUCGUGCCAAAGGACUGCCGGCAUCUCCAUUGCCUCAGGUGUCUCAGCUAGUUCCUCAGCUGCACCAAGUUCCUCAGCUGGCCCCUCACUGCUGAAGACAAAGGCCACUGCUGGAUGAGGUCCAUGCCCAAGUCCUCAAAAGAAGCAAGUCGCUUUCCAAGUGUCGUCUGAUGAAGACGAAGCUGAUGAUGAUGAACUUGCAGAAAUCAUCAGAGACAGGCAAGUCAGGGCCGCUAGAGCCAAAGGAUCAGAGGUGCCACUGCUUUUGGAUCCCAAGCUGAUCCUCGACUACAUUGAUGAUUGGCACAAGGACCCCAACACUCCCUUGCCUGACUUCAAGCUGACUCCUGGCCCGAGUCACAUGCUGACCCACUUCAUUCAAGAAGAAAAGUGGAAAUUUGAGAAGGCCAGGCAGAUCAAGAAAGUGCAGUACAAGAAAGAGCACUAUCUGAAGAAAAACGUUGUCUCUAUGACAACUGAAGAACUUGUCACUAUUCAGACUGAGAUUAAGAAACUCAGUGAUGACUUUGACGCAUAUCGCGCUGAUUGGCUUGGAGCCAAGGUUCAUUUUGUGAAACUUGCGGAUAACUUCACUUCCAAUGUUGCAGCCCCAACGCAACAGGAAAUUCCUCAGGCUGAAGCAUCUGCUCAGCCUACUGAAGAAAAUGCUAGCACCGCUGAUAACAAUCAGGCUGCUGAAGAUAAUGUGAGUUCCAGGGCUGAUGACUGCAUUCCAGCCAUUGAAGAAAUUUCUAGGGCACCCACUAGUGGUGUGCUUGAAGAAACUGAAGACCUCAGGGCAACUACAUCAGUUGUGCCUGAAGAAAAUCAACUAGAUUCCUCAGCUGCUCCUGCACCAACUUCAACUCCAAUCCUUCCAUCUGCAUCAGAUGUGAAGAAGACCAAGGCUGCAGAGCGUGCUGCAGUGAAGAAAAAGAAAGCAUCAGCUGCUUCAGAUUCUUCGGCUCCGAAGAAAAUGAAGCCUAUGACACACUACUAGAAAAAGGGCUAUAGAUGGGAUUGACACUAAUGGCGCACCAGACAAGCGGUGCGCCAUUAGUAUAUACUAAUGGCGCACCACCUUCUGAUACGCCAUUAGAGUUGAAACUACUAAUGGCGCACCUGGCCCCGGGUGCGCCAUUAGUAUCAAAAAAAAAAUUAACUAGUGCGCAUGUCCAAACAUACUAAUGGCGCAUCCAGACACAGUGCGCCAUUACUAGUUGUAACUAGUAAUGGCGCACCUGCCGGAAAGUGCGCCACUAAUGUUGUUUUUUUAUUAUAUUUUUUAUUCCCUUUUUUGCAAAACUACUAAUGGCGCACUGUUCCACCGUGCGCCAUUACUAGUUUAAACUAGUAAUGGCGCACUGUGGGACAGUGCGCCAUUAGUAUUUUUUUUGCAAAACUACUAAUGGCGCACCACCAGGAGGUGCGCCAUUAGUAACCUGGAUUACUAAUGGCGCAUUUAGAGUUGGUGCGCCAUUAGUAAGUGGGCAGCAACAAGAUAUUUUGGACAGCCUCUCCUACCCACACUCACUUUCUCCCCACUUCAUUCUCUCCACCUCCUCCUUGUCUCGGGUGCCUCCUCUUUUUCACCUCAUUUCCACCAUAGAUUCAUUCAAUUUAAGUGGUUAAAUUACCUUGUUUUGAUAGGUAAGUAAGGGGGGAAGCUAUAUUUAUGUUGUUCUCCCUACAACAAUGUGCACAUGCACUUUUUAUGGCCUAGCUAGAUCUAUGUAUGUUCGUGGUGUUGCAUAUGUUUGUGGUGUUGCAUAUGUGUUUGUGUUUGGAGGUGUACCGGUAUUUGAAAUUCGAUAGUUUCCAAUAUUUUGCCACAAUGUUGAUUCAUUUUCAUUUCGGCGAGAAUUUUGGCAUUAAGCAUUCUUUUUGGUCCUAUUUUUAGGGAAAGUCAUGCCAAAUUUUUUCUUGGUUCUAAAAUAUCAUUUUGCUCUACCCCGCAGGCGACCAUGGUCCGCAUGAUGACCGAAGGCAUCGUGAAUAGGUUUUUGAGGUCCGUGAAGGCCGAGAUGCUUCAAAAGAACGAGACGGAGAUAAGAUGUCCGUGUCGAAGAUGCAAGCUAAAGAGCCUUAUUGCGGACCCGGAAUCCGGGCAGGUGUGGGACCACCUGCUCUUGCGUGGUUUCAUGGAUGGCUAUCAGUGGCAAGGUGAUGAAGAUGACUACGAAGUCGUCCAUGGGGGCCGGGCAAGAAAUGAGGAAGGGCAGCAAGACAACCACCGCGGCUCGGGCAGGCGAGAAGACGAAGAAUCCCCAGGAGAUGAUCACGACGGUGAUGCUGUACACAGUCAUCAUGUAGAAGAUGCAGGACAUGAUGAUGAGGAAGAUGCUGGAGCAGUAGACGGGCAUGAUCAUGAAGAUGAUGAUGCCGGCGGAGCAGACGACGCUGGACCAUCGAUGGGCUGGGUGCAGGACCCUCAUAUUCAAGAGCUGCUUCUCAAGCAGACGGAUAACGCAAGAGCUGCCGCCCGAGAGAAAGCCAAGAUGGAUCAACUUGAGUUAGACGCGGUUACUCCAUUGUAUGAAGGAUGCAGGCCCGAGGAUACCCGCCUGAAAGUAACGCUCAUGGCUCUGGAGAUGAAGGUAAAACACAAAAUGACCGACGCAUGCUUCAACGAGAACAUGUCAUUCUGGCACGAACGUCUUCCCGAGGGGAACAAGUGCCCGACCAGUUUGGAGGAGGCGAAGAAAAUCGUGUGUCCUCUGGAUUUACCGCACGUGAAAUACCAUGUGUGCAUGAACAAUUGCAUCAUUUAUCGGGACGAGCACGCGGAGUCUACCAUAUGUCCGGUGUGCGGUGUCACUCGAUACAAGAAGAGGAAGAAAGCUCCUCGAAAAGUGGUGUGGUACUUUCCGAUCACUCCUCGUCUGCAGCGGUAUUUCGCGGACCCUAAGGUAGCAAAGCUCCUGCGUUGGCACGCGGAUAGGGAGGAGAAGAAGCAAGAAGAUGUCGCAAAUGAUCCGGAGAUAGAUAAAAAAGACAAGAUGCUGAGUCACCCUAAGGAUGCAAGCCAGUGGCAAGCGUUGAACUUCGAAGACCCGGAAUUUGGGAAUGAUCCGAGGAACAUCGUGCUGGGCGCGAGCACCGAUGGAGUCAAUCCGUUUGGCAGCCAGAGAAGCACACAUAGCACUUGGUCUGUGUUUGUGUGGAUGUACAACCUUCCCCCUGGUUGUGCAUGAAGAGGAAGUACAUUCACAUGAGUAUGCUAAUUGAAGGACCGAAACAACCAGGGAAAGACAUCAAUCUGUAUCGGGGGCUGCUGAAAGAGGAGCUUGACACGCUGUGGAAAAUGCCAGCCAAUACGUGGGACGCCGCAGAGAAAGAAUAUUUCCCUAUGAGAGCCACGCUGCUCACGACGGUGCACGACUAUCUCGGUUACGGAUAUGUCGCGGGGCAGGUGGUCCAUGGAUUUUCUGGAUGUGUCAGGUGCAUGGAUGACACAAUGUAUCGCCGCUAGAUAGAGAUCCCGGGUCUUCGAAAACCGUGUUCAUGGGACAUCGAAGGUGGCUUCGCGACGAUGACCCAUGGACAAAACGCAAGGAUCUGUUCGAUGGUGAAACCGAACCCCGAGGACGCCCGCGUACGAGGAGCGGCGAGGAAAUAGACGAGCUGUUGAAAAAUUGGAAAGACUGCCCACUGCCGGGAAAGAAGCAAAAGGCGCCAGAGCCAGGAAAGAAGCGAAAGGCGCCAGAGCCGCUGCUGAAGGUAUGGAAAACGAGGUCUGUUUUCUGGGACUUGCCGUACUGGAAGAUCCACCGUGUGCCUCACAGCCUUGAUGUCAUGCAUAUCAGGAAGAACGUGUGUGAGAGUCUGCUUGGUACCCUGCUCAACAUGCCAGAGAGGACCAAAGAUGGGCCGAAAGCAAGGGCAGACUUGAAAUCAAUGGGCAUCAGGCAGGAGCUUCACGCUAUAUAUGAUGAUCAUGAUGAUGAUGAUGAUGAUGAGGCGAAGCAGGACACGGAAAGUCGUCGCAAAGGCAAAAAGGCCAAGAAGACCGGAAAUGACUACCCUCCCGCGUGCUUCACUCUAAGUCAGGAGGAGAUCGAGCAGUUUUUCACCUGCCUCGUAGGAGUAAAACUUCCUUACGGUUACGCGGGGAAGAUAAGCAGAUACCUAGACCCAGCGAAGCUGAAGUUCAGCAGGAUGAAGUCUCACGACUGUCACGUGCUGAUGAUGCAGAUACUUCCAGUUGCAAUCCGUGGGAUCAUGGACGCGCACAUCCGUGAAACCCUAUUUGGCCUAUGCAACUUUUUCGACAUCAUCUCUCAGAAAUCUGUUGGCGUGAGGCAACUCAGAAGGCUACAGGAAGAGAUCGUGGUGAUACUAUGCGAGCUUGAGAUCUACUUCCCGCCCGCAUUCUUCGACGUUAUGGUGCAUCUGUUGGUCCAUAUCUUGGACGAUAUCAUCCAACUCGGGCCGACAUUCCUGCACAGCAUGAUGCCGUUCGAAAGGAUGAAUGGUGUCAUCAAAGGAUACGUUCGCAACAUGUCACGUCCAGAGGGAAGCAUAGCCAGGGGCUUUCUGACCGAAGAGUGCAUCUCCUACUGCACGAAUUAUCUAGGCAUCGAGAACCCCGUUGGUCUGCCCGUCAACAGGCACCUCGGCAGGCUCGCUGGAUGGGGUCACCGUGAGGGUCGUCGCGAAAUGCAUGUCGACUUCGAGGGUCGACUCGCCGACUUUGAAAGAGCAAACCUAGUCGCACUACAACACAUAGACGUGGUCGAUCCUUGGGUGGUACAGCACAAAACCUUUAUUAAGAAGACGUACAAUGACCGAGGCCAACAGAGGACGGACGGAGAUAUACUCAAAGAGCACAACUCAUGUUUCACGCAUUGGUUCAAGCAGAAGCUUCUGCCGUACCCUUUACAUGAGGAUUCUUCCGUGGAAGAACAACUCAUAUUCGCCUUGUCACAGGGCGCCGAGCACAACCUGAUGACCUAUGAGGCGUACGAUAUCAACGGCUACACAUUCUACACCGAGGCCAAGGACAUGAAGAGCGAUGGUUAUCAGAACUCCGGGGUAACGAUGAAAUCCUACACCGGUAACGACAAGGACAGAUACUACGGAAGGAUCGAGGAGAUCUGGGAGCUGAGCUACGCUGGAGAGAAGGUCCCGAUGUUCCGUGUCAGAUGGGCCAAGAGCGUCCUAAAAGAAGGCCGGUAUUUCACCACCAUGGUUAUACCCGAAGCCAAAUCCAAGACCGCGGGCGCAAACGUCACCGCGAAAAAUGAGCCAUGGGUACUGGCUUCCCAAGUGGACCAAUGCUUCUUCAUUACCGACCCGUCAAAGCCCAGUCGUGUUGUCGUGAGGAGAGGCAAAAGGAAGAUCAUCGGAAUGGAUGGAGUAGCCAAUGAGCAAGACUUCGACAAGUAUGGCGACCCAAGGAUCGAACAUGACGAUGAUGAUGAAGUAGCAGCAUACACCACAAGAAGAAGCAGGACCACCCUACCUAAAGGACGUCCGUUCCACAGAAGAACUCCAUUUGCGAAAAAGAAGGGCAAGAAGAUUGUGAACAGAUAGCUAGCUAAGAUCGAUUGUAUUUAAAUCGUAGCCUUCAUUUCUCGAUUGUAUUUCAUGGGCACUUUUUGAACUAUCAUGAAUAUUUUUAAAUUUCAUGGACACUCGAUCUCGAUCCCCCUCCAUCUUGAUCGCUAUCCCACCUCGCCAGAUCCGGUCCCCCUCGCCGCCGAGCACCCNNNNNNNNNNNNNNNNNNNNNNNNNNNNNNNNNNNNNNNNNNNNNNNNNNNNNNNNNNNNNNNNNNNNNNNNNNNNNNNNNNNNNNNNNNNNNNNNNNNNNNNNNNNNNNNNNNNNNNNNNNNNNNNNNNNNNNNNNNNNNNNNNNNNNNNNNNNNNNNNNNNNNNNNNNNNNNNNNNNNNNNNNNNNNNNNNNNNNNNNNNNNNNNNNNNNNNNNNNNNNNNNNNNNNNNNNNNNNNNNNNNNNNNNNNNNNNNNNNNNNNNNNNNNNNNNNNNNNNNNNNNNNNNNNNNNNNNNNNNNNNNNNNNNNNNNNNNNNNNNNNNNNNNNNNNNNNNNNNNNNNNNNNNNNNNNNNNNNNNNNNNNNNNNNNNNNNNNNNNNNNNNNNNNNNNNNNNNNNNNNNNNNNNNNNNNNNNNNNNNNNNNNNNNNNNNNNNNNNNNNNNNNNNNNNNNNNNNNNNNNNNNNNNNNNNNNNNNNNNNNNNNNNNNNNNNNNNNNNNNNNNNNNNNNNNNNNNNNNNNNNNNNNNNNNNNNNNNNNNNNNNNNNNNNNNNNNNNNNNNNNNNNNNNNNNNNNNNNNNNNNNNNNNNNNNNNNNNNNNNNNNNNNNNNNNNNNNNNNNNNNNNNNNNNNNNNNNNNNNNNNNNNNNNNNNNNNNNNNNNNNNNNNNNNNNNNNNNNNNNNNNNNNNNNNNNNNNNNNNNNNNNNNNNNNNNNNNNNNNNNNNNNNNNNNNNNNNNNNNNNNNNNNNNNNNNNNNNNNNNNCGCCCCGGUGCAUCGGUGAGCUUCCCCCCGUUUUUUCUUUUAGUUUGUGAUUGGGCUGCCUAGAAUGUUUAGGAUGUUAGUUUACUCGUAGAUUUAGAAUCUGUAGCCUGUUUUGAUUUGAACCCAUUUGCUGUGCUAAUUUUGUUUGCAAAUCCGCGUGACGUGUACUGUGUUACGUCUGUGGUAAUCUGUCAAGUCAAUUAAGCCCAAUCCAUUUGGGUUGAAUCGAACUAGUGCUAUUACUAGCCAUCCCACCUUCAUUGUGACACUAGAACAUAUAUACAAGAGAAGGCCUCCCAGCUGAUACGUUCAGCGCAUAUAUACCACUGUUAAAUCCCUUAGCAUUAUCGCAAACUUGUCAAGUCCAUAAACUUGUAACAAGUGGCAAAAGUAGUGCUGUAAAUUGGCAAAGCAGUUUCUGAUUUUGUUUGUUUCCAUCUUGUUGGUACUUGGAACUUGGAAGGGGGACAAGCAGGUGGAGCGGGUGAAGCCAGACCGGAAGAAGUAGGCUGGAGGUGGAGUGAGAAGGGGAAGCAGAGAAAGAAAGGUUUGUUCCAUGUCCUCGGAUGAAGUUCCAUGUUUCGAUGGUCUCUGUGUAGUUUCUGAUGCAGACCGUACAUCCAUCAAAAGCCACAAUGCAAGCCAACUUUUAUUUCUCUUGCCUGGUUCCACUAAGAUGUGUUAUUGCAAGCUAUUAAUUAUUUUUCAGUUGUGAGCCUCGAGAACAGGUGCCUCUCAUCUCCCUGUUCCCCACCCCUCUGUUUGUUAGCCGGAUGGGUGGAUGUUGCUGUUGCAUAUUGAAUAGAUGGACGAAUGGAUUUGUUUUGCUACUGUGAUUGAUAGCUCGUGUUAGUACGUCUCAGAUUUUUGCUACUGUGAACUGUCAAUGGUACUAAAUCAGUGCCCUUUUGCUGCUUGCUGCUUGCUGCUUAGUGCUAGUUGAUAAUUUGGUAAUGCUACCGAUUCUUAGAAAUCGAUGGAUGUACUUUUUCCAGUUUGAUACUGCUACUAAUUUGAUGCUUGCUAUUUUAGGCCGCUGCUUGGUAUGUGCUCUAUAUGCAAGUCAUGCUUUUAUUCAGUUUUUUCUUCAGUUUUGGCCACUAUUGAUCUUUCGUUCGAUCGAACUGAGAGUGGUUUCGUGAGUGGAAAGUGGAAUUGAACAAUCUAGACCUGAAACUGAGGCAGUUUUACACGAGUUUGUUUGUUGGUCUUUUAACCCUAUCAUUUCUCUUGUAGCCAGCAUGUGUGUGCGCUUAAACUUGUUUAGCUAGUAAUUUCCCCCAAUUUGGCCAUUGCAUGUGUAACUUAACUUAGCUUGUCAGAGCAUGCUUCCUCGCGAAGAAGGGGGUCAUGCUGAAAAUUGAAAAAUAUUGUGAGACAUUGGUUGGACUUUGAAUUGGUAUACAGAGAAGGGAGUGCCUGCUUGUAUAUAUUUUACUGUUGCUACCAUGCCAGACUAACAAACUGCCCAAUAUUGUGCCCUUCUGUACUGUUAUUGAGAACAGUUCAUGGUUACUAACGUAAUUCAUUGUUUCGCUGCAGUUGGCAUACAAGUUGUUAUAAAGCCAGAAUAUCGGAUAACCCCUCCUGUAAGUUAUAUGAGUUAUUAUACAAUCACUAGUUUCCUGUUCUCUUAUGCAAGAGCUGUCAAUCUACUUUGCUACCAAAAAAGUUGUAUUAAUGAGUAAUGACUGAGUUCAGUUUUCAUUCUCCAGUGUUAAGAGUGUUGCUCCAAAAAAUGUUGUUUCGUAGUUAAAUGGGUGCCUUUAACUUCUGUGCAUUGGCUGGACAUCAACAUACUACCAUAAGUGUUUUGUUUUCUGUUGCCAGUUAUUCUCCUUGGGAUUGUUGGCAAGAUGCUUGGUAUAUAUAUGUUGUGUUCAGUUUUGGCAGGAGUUCAGAACUGUUAGGCAAAGGUCAUGUCUCCGACCAUCGUGUCCUUUUUUGCCUUGUCCACCCGAGAGGCCCUUGAGUUUGCUAGAAUGUCGAUUAACUUCCGUUCCGGCAAAUUCGGGUACUCCAUAUGUCCUAUUUUCAGCAAAGGUCAUGCUGAAAUUUUCCGUGAAUUUUAGCAUGACUUUGCUAAAAAUAGGACAUAUGGGGUACUUGUGACUAAUGCAUGGGCCGGGGUAUCUUAGUAGUUAAUUAAGUAGGAUCAAGUGCCCCGGCGUACUUGUGACUAAUGCAUGGCUUUUAGGGUGCCUCGGUGUCGAUAAAAACCGAAAUGAUGAAAGCUUAGGCUUUUAGGGUGCCUCGGCGUCGAAAAACCCUCAAUGAUAAAAGCUUAGCUUUUAGGAUGCCUCGGUGUCGACAAACCCUAAAUGAUGAGACCAUGAUCUUGUUCCUUGACAAUAACCAACUUUUUGACCAAACUUUGUUCCUAUUUAUAGAGAAACAUGGCCAACAACGAUGAGGCCGGGGGUUCGGGCGGCAAGAAAUUCUGGGAGCUGUCCCAGGAGAUGGAGGAACAACCUCACUUGUAUGAGGAUGCCGCCUUCCCCACCGAUCCUGAGACCACUGAUGGUACCGCCGAGGAUGACCCCACUGAUGCCACCACUGAUGGUGCCGCCGAGGAUGCCACCACUGAUGAUGGCGGCGCAUGCACAGAUGGCAGCCAACCGAAGAGGCAACGGAAGGACCGGCGCCCGACCAUGCUCCGCACCCUCAAGGAGGAAGUUACUGAAGUGGACUCCAACGGGAAUCCAAAGGUGCCCGAACGAAUAGUCAAGGGGUACUCGCUUCAGCUCGGGUGCAUUCUUCGGAGCACCGUCUCGAUCAACACCGAGAACCUCAGGCAUCCUGACCGAGGGAAUUUGCGCAACCUCCUCUUCACGAAGCUGCACGAACGAUACAAGUUCCCCGCUGAAUUUGAAAACACAAGCCUCAAAGGGAAUAAAGUGAACAAUGUUGCCCUCACGAAGAUGAGCAUGGCCCUGUCUACUUGGAAAAGCAAUGUGAAGAGAAUGAUCGAGAAAGGUGAGAGUUAUGAGAAGAUCAAGGAGAAAAAUCCUUCGAUCACCGAAGAUGACUACAACGACUUCAAGAUCAAUUGCUCGAGCACCGCAAGCUCCGAAUCAAGUAAGUGGGGGAAAGAAAUGCGGGAGCUGGACUUAGGGGAACACACACUCGGUCCCGGCGGUUACAGAGUGGCGGAGCCUAUAUGGGACAAGGAGGAGGCGGACCGUGCCGAGCAAGGCCUACCGCCCCUCUUCGAUAAAUACGGUGACAAGCAGACCAGGAACUUUGUCAGGGCCCGGUACAAGAAGGACCCGAAAACAAAGGAGCUUACCACGGAUCCGAAGACCAGGGCGCUUGAGCUUGUUCUGGUAAGGAAUACACCCCCGCGUAAUUAGCUCCAUAUGGUUGCAUUCUAAUUAAUGAAGCCAAAUUUCUAAAUGGUUCACAUUCCUUUCGCAGGCGACUGAAAGCAAUAGCGCAGGGUCGACUAAAAGCAACCCUUGGGACACCACUCUAAAUAGGGCGUUGAAUGUAAUGAAGAACAAGGAUAAGCUCAGUUAGCCGACAUCAGUUGGUCGUGUGGCCGGCAAAGGCUUGUCGACAAAAUGGUCGUCAUACUAUAACACUGGUGGGCGAAAGGAGAAAAAGACCAGCUCGAAAAGCCAGGCGCGCGAGGUUCAAGAACUCAGGGCACAGGUGGUGCGGAUUCCGGAGAUUGUCCAAGAGCAAGUGCAACAACAACUCGGAGCGACGAUCACCGCCAUUGUGCCUACCUUGAUCCAGGGGAUUAGUGCGUGGAUUGCGGGCGGCCAACAGGGGCCGCCCCCGAUUCCUAGCUUCACGGCCAGCAACUCGCAGAACGCGAUGGCGGCGCCAUUGGUGUCUCUGGCGGAGGCGGCAUUGGUGUCUCCAACGCCGGCACAGGAGCUUAAUGCACCCGGGUGUACGUCGGCCGGCACCUCUACAGCAAGCGGCCCCUCCGUCAACUGCACGCCCGCCGUUGCGGUGCCUCGACAUUAGCCGAGCUCGACGCCAUCAUCAUAGUAACUAAUUAAGCCUCUCUCGGCCGAGGACUUCAUCUCCUUGCCUUUGACUGGGCAUCCCUGACGCCCUACAUGUUUUCGCAGGGCGCCGCCGACGUUCCGUGCACUCUCCUGCACUUCGUGAACAACGAGUUGGUCGAUGUCGCCAAUGGCAAAAUCGUUCAACCGGCAACCCCUUGCUCCACGGUACCCAGAUGCCACCCAACUUGUUUAGGGUUCAACUGGUUCGGGUGCUGCCAGGCUGCGACGAGUUGUUACCUCCGAUUCGACCCGUCGGGGCCGACGAUGAUGACGUGAUGACCCUCAGCACCUACCUGAGCUGGCCCCUGCUUUGACCGAAGAGCCAGAUUCGUUUGGGGGCGGGGGACACCACCCCAAAGACAACACCGCCAGUCGUGCCGGCGCCAAGUCGGCCCCAUGGCAAGACCGCCGCAACGGUGCCGGACAUCCCUAUGCCACUGGAUCCAAACAUGCAUAUGGCACAGGAUCAGAACGACGACGACGACAAUACAUUUGCCAACGUCGAUUAGUACUUUGCCGAUCAUGGGUACGGUGGCGACUUCAUGGGGCCUCCUUCUCAAGAACCCAACUCAACAAAAGACGUGCGCAAUCUAGCUGGUACCGCGGAGAAGCCAAGUUGCAACAGGCGUCGUCUGUAGUUCAGCUCUCAGGAGACGCCUCCAGCUGCCGACUUCACCGAGCCUCAGAUAGGCAAGGUGCGAAAUAUGAUCAGCCCCAACACACUCAAGAAGGCGGUCUGUGAGCAGAACUCGGUCCCAUUACAGGAGAAGAAGAAGGCACGCAAAAGAAAGACUAACAAGGGUGCGGGCCAGCCGGCACCGAGUACGAUCCGUGCUCAGGACGGGCCACCUUCACCUGAGGAUAUCUCGAGGAGGGUGCAUGUGGCGGGUAGGCCGAUGCUACCGAGAAAUAUGCUCGAUGCUGCAACCGGUGCUAUGCGGAGUCUGCAUGACAGUGUUCUUUCUUUGGAGAAGCGGCGUCUCGGAGAGAAGAUGUGGCAUACCCGGUUUUUGCGGCCAAGGUGCCAGAGGGCAAGGGCUUUGUGGAUAACUCCAUCAGGGGUACGAUCGUCAUGCGGUUUGAUGACAUCCACGCUGUGUUGAACCUUCAUCCGCUGCACUACACCUUCGUUCGGCUAUUUUCGCUGAGUAUGGAGAUGCGGAUCAUUCGCGACAAGACCCCAAACAUCGUGAUAGUCGACCCCUUCUACAUGUGUGCCAAGAUCUUGGGCAGCGCUGGGGACCGGCAAGUCGCGAGUUCUUACCUCGAAGGCGUCAUUCUGGCAAACCAAGAUAAGGAUAACUUCCUCGUGCCUUACUUUCCCGAGUAAGUCCUCCCCUCAACCGCCCCGUAACAUAUGAAUUCUUAGAUUUCGAUCGUUUUUCUUUUAACAUUCCGUGUUUUCUGCAGUGACACACGUUGCACGCUCAUCCUCCUAAGCCCCAAAUAUUCCAUGGCCACGUAUUUCGACCCGGACCGUCAGUUGAACGUAGACUACACAAAUGUCAAGAAGGUUCUUGAUGAUGUUCUCCCCGGCUACGUCAAAUCUGGAGGCACCUUCACCAGGCCUAUUCGUAAGUACGGCAAGCACAUGUUCUCCCACAAUACGAUGUUCUGCUGCGUCAAGCAGCCGCCUGGCGGUCAGAAGGGUGCCUACUACGCCAUCCAUCACAUGCGGGCGAUCGUACGGGACCAUCAUCAACUUCUGCUACCGAGUAGACUCAAAGAUUGGGCCGCGAGCGUGUCGGCAAUCCAGGACGCGGACAUCAGACAAGAAUUAUUUCGCAUCCAGUCGGAGUUUGCGGAAAUCAUCCAUCAAGAUGUCCUUCGUACCGCGGGGCAGUUCUACCUCAGAAAUCAACCGUCCAACAGUGACGUCGACACAAUCCUACAAAUGCAGGCUGACAACGCCCGUUCUUUCAUGACUCCCACGAUAGACGGCGGCUUCAUCCACGCUCCGGUCCCUUGAGUCUCAUGUUGUAAUUAAACUUUAAUGAACUUGUAGUAUGUCUCUUUGGUUUUGAGAGUCGUUCAACUUAAGAUGUAAUCGAUGCUAUUAAUGUCUUGCUUUUCUCUUCCGAUCGUUCUGUUGCAUACUUAUAUAUUGCUUAUGUAUUGUCUGUGAAUUGGUACUAACGUUUCGUUUGGCUACUGCAUAGCGAUGCCGUGGUAUGUCGUGUACAAGGGUAAGGUUCCCAGAGUCUACGACGACUGGGAGGAGUGUUGGAGACAGGUUCACCGAUUCAGCGGUAACAGUUACAAAGGGUACGCCACUAGGGCCGAGGCCAAAUCUAGAUACGCCCGCUAUCUAGCGGGAGAGGGGAGGGAGCGUUGGAGGAACCGGAUGAAGACGAGUUUCAUCGUGAUGAUGCUCAUCGUGAUGACCGCAGCUCUCUUCUAUGUGAUGGUAGUUUAGAUGAUCGAUAUCGACUUGUAAUGUGAAGACAAACUCGCGGUCUCGAGACUUGUAAUAUAAUGUUCUAUCUUUGUUCGGUCUUUUCAAUUUGGAGACUAAUAUGAUGACUUGUAUUCGGAGACUAAAAUGAUGAAUUGUAUUCAGAGACUAAUCUUCUAUUGUAUUCGAUGAAUCUAUUGUUGAUGUGUGCUGUCUAUAUUUUGUCCAAUUAUACAUUUUGUAACCUGUGCAAAAAAACAGAAAAUUAAAAAAAAACUAAUAUUCAUACUAAUGGUGCAUCACAUCAUAGUGCGCCAUUAGUAUGCCAAAGGAUACUAAUGGCGCAUCAUUAAAGAGUGCGCCAUUAGUAUGCCGAAGUUACUAAUGGCGCAUCUUGCUGUCGUGCGCCAUUAGUAUGCCAAAGCACCUGGGUAUACAUGGCCCCCUGGGAGGCAUACUAAUGGCGCACUGUUGUAUAUACUAAUGGCGCAUCUGGGGUGCGCCAUUAGUAUACCAGAUACUAAUGGCGCACCUGUGGUGCGCCAUUAGUAAAAUAUACUAAUGGCGUGCUACUAAUGGCGCACCACUAAUGCGCCAUUAAUGGCCAAAUUAGGUGCGCCAUUAGUAGGCCUUUUCCUAGUAGUGACAAGCUCAUUUGCAAAUACGAUUGAUGCUGUUCCCAUCUCAACCAGGCCAUCAAAGGACCUCGUUCCUUUUGAUAAAGAAUAUGUGAUCCCCAGAGGAUCUGAUAAAGAAACUCCUUCUGCUGCUUCGUCUGAACCAUUGGAUGAAGAAAUUGAAGUGGAUGUGAUCCCUUCAACACCUAUCAUCUCCUCGCCUAUGCCUCAGUUCACAGCUGAAGAGGCUGGCGUUGAAGAAAUGGAAGAUGAAGAUGUGGACAUUGGCUGCUCCACACCCUUAAUCAGUGAUGAAUUCUGGGAAAGUCAGCAUCCAAACUCUCCAAUGUUCACCCCUCUACAGCAAAUUCCUCAGUCCCCCACACAAACUGUUCAUAUGGGCUCUGAAGAAACUCAUCCCACUGCAUCUGUCCAUGAGGAAAUUCCAGCCACUAGCACUGAAGAAACUGUUGCUGCUAAACAACCAACGACGCAGACUGCCACUAAGGAGGAACCAGAAAAUUCCUCAGCCUGAAGAACCUGCGAUUGAGAUUCCUGAGGUCGUGAUGCAACUCACUGACACUCCUCUGCCGAAGCCAAAGGAUCCAUUCUCAUGCAAGCAAAAGUUCAAAGCUGAUGAUUUCUUCGGCGAGCACGUAUUCUUCGAAGACUACAACCCAUAUGACUCUGCUCGCAUUAGGAAGAGGCGUUUCUGGACUGCCAGUCAAGCCAAUUUCUAUUCCUCGGUGCUCUUCAACAAGGAGAAGAUUUUCUACCAUGAGCAUAUUCCUCACAUGGAUAUGGAAUCUCUGCCGUGCUUCGCACCAGUCCUGAGUGUUCUUCACGACGCUGGACUGCUCAACUUUUGCUCUGACAUCUGCGAUUAGAAUGAAGAACUGAUUCUUCAAUUCUAUGCAACACUGCACAUCACCGGAGAUGCUGAAGAUGUGAAUUCAUGGGUGCUAGACUGGAUGUCUGAAAACACUCACUACACUGCACCAGCCUCUAAAUUGCUUCGUGCUCUACCACUCAGUCCUCCCCUUGAAGAAGCUCGCUGCAUCUACAGUGAACCUGAGCUCACACAUCACUACAUGCAGGUGCUGAUGAAACCUUUGAAGCCAGGUCAAGCACCAAGAACCAAAUUCCUCGUGAAGGAAUUGAUGUACGUGCCCAGAACUGUCUAUCAUAUUCUUACGAGGACAAUCAGUCCUAUCAAAGGCCACGACUCAUCUAAUGUGGAAAUUGUUGGCAUCAUGAAGAAUCUGGUAUUCAACAUCGUUCAUGGCAUUCCUGUCAAUUAUCAUGAUUUCUUCAUGAGGACUACGGCCAAUGUUGCACUGUCUCCGUUUGAGCUGAAGCCCUAUGCACCUUGGAUCAUGAGAUUCCUCAGGACAAGGUCUUCACUCAACUACAAAGCUGAUUUCCAGAAUCACCUUAGCUACUUGCCCCCAAUUGAAGUCCUCAAGCAGACAUAUUCCUCAGUUGAUGGAAAGGGCAAGGCACCAGCUGUAGUAGAUGAAGGCAUUCGUCCAUUGGAUGGUCAGUUUCGCAAAGCUGCAUCUUAUUCCACCAAUGAUGACUCCGCCACACAUGACUCUGCCAAUGCACCUAAGUCCACUCCUCAAGCCACUGCUCCGCGCGUGAUGACUGACCGUGAACUUCUGCUUAGUCUUCACCAGAAGGUGGAUCGAAAUCACAAAAUGGGUUAAGCUUCAGUUUGGUUCACUUCUUCACAACAUGACUGCCACACACAAUGUAGUGAAGAAAAACCACUACUACCUCCAUCAAGUCUUCGGUCGCACCUGGGCAUUCCUGUCACAUCUAUAUGGUGAAGAAGAUCUGAAGAACAUGGGUCUCAAAGAAGAUUUUGACUGGUCUGCACCUCCACCGAAGAAAUUCAAGAAGGUCCAAGUUCCUUCUCUGGUGACCAGCUCAUUUUCUUUAUCACGCGACACUGAUGAACAUGAAGAUUUGGACGACACUGCGGCAGGCCCUACAUUAACAAACGACCCCAACAACGCUGGCGCUCCUUCAUCAACAUGAUUAUCUUCAGGGGCCUUAGUCCUCAUUUUCGAUCCUUUUGGUCAUUCGAUGACAAAGGGGGAGAAAUAUGAGUUAGUCUUCAAGCGGGUCUACUAUAUGGCGUUUUUUUGCUAAGUUACAACUCUCGUUCUUCUGAAACUUUAUUGGAUCGAGUGGUAAUCUUAAACCCGAUGGUGCUCUGAUACUUUUGAUGCACUGUGCUCUCAUACUUUUGAUGCACUAUUCUGCAUGCUUAUUCCUCGUUAAAUAUUAUUGCACGCAUGCUAAAUUUCAUCAGGCACCAUAUUUCAUCAUGCAUUUCAAAUUCUUCAUAUUAUAUGUUAAAUGCGUGUAUGAAUUACAAGAUAUAAGGGGAGAUCUCCAUGAUUCAACUCUUCAAGUGUGCAUUGCUUCAAAAGCAAAUUCCUCACUAUGCACAUCUUCAGGGGGAGUUCUUCUAUAUCUUGCAAUCAAAUUCCUCAAUAUCAGUAGUUACACUUCAUAUGUUUAUCCCCGUUGAAAACUUAACCUAUAUUGUCAUCAAUCACCAAAAAGGGGGAGAUUGUAAGUGCAUCUAGUGCCCCUUAGUGAUUUUGGUGUAUUGAAGACUUAUAGGUUAAGGGACUAAUCCGUUUGUGAGUGUACACAGGUCUAUAAGUCUAUGAGGAGUUUGAUAUUUACAGGAAAAGUCGACCCCUAAAAAUGAAUAUCUUCGACUGAAGAUUUUGGUAUUUCUGAAGACUUUCAUGAAGACUUUGAAAGUGAAGAAAUUGGUGUGUCCGUGAAGACUUGAUAUUCAUGCGAAGAAUAUGAAGCUUGAAGACUUUCGUUUUCAUAGUUUUGUUUUUCUCUUUCUUGAGUCAUAGGAAACACCGUACUGUUAAAGGGGGUCGAGGAAAUACUAAGGAAAAAUUUCCAUGUGAUGCUCAACUCAAAAUCCUACAUCUACCAAUCCCUUCGAGUGAAGCCAUUGGAAAUCUCAUACAGUUCAGUCAAUUUCUUCAAUGACAGAGACGAAGUUCUUCUGGUCUCUGAGGAAUUUGUCCUGACUGAGGAGUUAGGAAUUCGCCAGUGCAGAUUGCCUACACAGUGAGGAACAUGAUAGCCCUGAGGAUUUUACUACUCAAAAUUCCGACCGUUGUUGUGCUAUGCGCCAGCUGUCCCAAAAUAUCUAUCCACCUAACGGUCAUAUCAUUGAAGGGCAUUUAUGUCUUAUCAUGUCAGGCUGCUCCCUAGGCUAUAAAUAGCCGCCCCCUACAACCACUAGCUGGUUGGCUGCUCCGAGAGAAACUGACACUUGUCAUUUGAGAGCAACCCAUCCUCCAAGGACUUUGAGCGAAAAUCAUCAAGUGAGGAAAAACCAAAAACCCAAAACCCAAACACCUAAAAACCCCAAGUGAUUGAGCAUCACUGAAGAGAUUGAUCCUGAGUGGAUCCGACGCUUGCUACCUUUCAAGACUAUGCUUCUUCCAGACGGUUAGGCGUCAUGGUCUAGAGCAUCCAAGAGGAAUUGUGGAUCGCCGAGUGACCAAGUUUGUGAAGGUUUGGAAGUCGCCUGAAGACUUACCAUGAGUGAUUGGACGAGGUCUGUGUGACCUUAGUUCAAGGAGAAUACGGUGAGUACUGGGUGUCUUGGACUAAGUGUCCUUGACCGGGUGUCCGGGACUGUGUGUCCUCGAGUUUAAAUACUCAGCCGCUCCAACCAAACAUACAACUGAGACAGCAGUUGGAACUGGUCUACCAAAUCAUUGUCUUCAUCAAGCUUACUGGUUCUAUUUCCUCAACUCUUUCAUUUCCUCAUAACUGUGUUGUGUGCUUGUUCAUAUCUGUGUUUGAAGACCUUGACUGAAGACUUUCUCAAUUUCCUCAGUUCAAUUUCUUCAGUCUGUUUGUCUUCAUCCUGUGUUAUCUUGUGAUUACGCUUCCUGUACUCUGUGCCUGUCUUCAUUUCAUCAUGAUGACUAUGCUUGUAUUCUGUUAUGUUUACUUUUGAGUACUUAUUCCGCUCCUAGUAGUUCUUCGCUAAGGAAUUUCCUCACCGGCAAAUUCCUCAGUGAAGAAUUUCAUAAAAAUCGCCUAUUCACCCCCCCAGUCGAUAUAACGCACUUUCACACACCACCCCCGAAAGCAUUGGUAGGUCACCGCUAUCGCCGGCGCCUCCAUCCUCAACCUCUGCCUAUGUGCCCGGGAGCUCGAGUAGCCAAUGGCCAAAAAGAGGUUUAUCACGGCCUUUUUGCCCGACGCCGCGCGAGGUGGCCACCGAGGUGUCCCCGUCAUCCUGUGCGGGCUCGAUUCACCGUCGCCGGUCCCCCGACCCUCCCGCCGCAGCGCCCCUACGCCAGUUCGAGGACUUCCCCGUCCUCCCUUGGACCCGACAGCCAACGAGGUCCUACCUCGGGGUCCAACAGCGGCGGUGGGGACGUGGGUCGACGAGAUUACAGAUCAGGAGACCCACACCCGCUGGUGGCUCGGUAGCUUCCACACGGUCGAGCUCACGGCCAUGGAGUACGACCGCUGGCAGGUCCCCUACCACGACGCAGCGGCUAGGCUCAAUUUGCCCUUCGGCACACGUCCGGUCGACCUUGUUCCGCCGGAGCCAGGGUGGUGAGCUCGUCUAUGGCGCGGGAGGACCGCGAGGUGUGGGAGUGCCUCGAGGCUGAGGCUGACGAUGAGGCCUGCAUGCAAGAGCUCCGCUGGCAGCACCCGGAGCUCGUGGAGGCGGAGCGGGCGAUCUUUGCCGGUGUGGAGGGCGGCGAGGUUAUCGCGCUCUCCUCCGAUGACGAGGUCGAAGGCGGCGAGGACGGCGGCGCUAAGGGUGGCGAGGUUAUCGUGCUGUCCUCCGAUGACGAGCUCAAAGGCGGCGGCGACGGUGGCGCGGAGGGUGUCGAGGUGGGCCCCGAGGACGAGGAGAUCGACGUCGACGAGUGGAGGAGUGCCUUCCCCAACGACCCCGACAACGGCACCGGCCUGGACCCGGCUCGCGGCACACCGUACAUGACGAGGAAGGAUUGGCUCAACCUCUACUUCGACCGAAAGUAGUUUAGCUUAGUUUAAACUUAUGUUUUAUAUUCGGUUAUGCAAAACUAUCUAUGUUUAUGUUUGAAUGCAUGCUACUUUCGGUUGAACCUGCUUUGAACUUGAUCAAAUGGAAGUUUACAACCUUAAGUUUAGGGGAUCGACUAGAAAAGGCCAAAAAUUGCUGGAGUAUAUAUAUAUAUAUAUAUAUAUAUAUAUAUAUAUAUAUAUAUAUAUAUAUAUAUAUAUAUAUAUAUAUAUAUAUAUACUAAGGGUUUUAGUCCUUUAACUUUUUAAGGAUAUGACUUGUUUAUUUCAGUUCUUCACAAUGUGCUGCUCUAUAUGUGCAACUAUUUGUCGUGCAGUUCAAUUUUAUCAAUAACAGUUUCAACAAUACCACUAUGAAUUACGAUAUUUGGUUGAUGUUAAGGAUAUUGCAGUUAACAUGCCCUUUCAUUUUUUUAUCAAUAACUAGUGUACUUUAGACCUGCACAAUACCAGUUUGAAUGACCAUUUGCUUGUUUUUAAAUGUUAUGCCUGUGCAGUUAACACACCUUUCCACUUCUUGUUUUGCUUAACUAGCGUGCUUAAGCCUGCACACUGAAGCUAUCAUUUGUAGAUUAUGUUGUCUACCAGGGAUAUAUUUGGUUGAUGUUUAGCCUGUUGUGCUUAACAUGCCUUUAUAUGUACUCAUGCAGGAAAAUAUUGAGAACAGUGUUGUUUUCCAUUGAGGUUAGUUUCAUUGCAUUGCCUAUAUGUACUCACUGUUCAGGAUAUCGGUAGCUGGUACCAUAUAGCCUGGGGCUGAUAAGGGACUAAUCGUCGAAUCGGACAUUUCACUGAAUAUAUCUGUAGCCCAUUUAUCAGUAGGUUAACUAGGGCCGUAUUUAAUACAUCUAGGGCUACAUAGCAAGAUGCAUUGUACUGAAUGACUAAAUAUGCAAUCCCAGGCUACAUAGCAACAAGGAAGAGUGUUACCUUAAUGUUCUGAUGAUGUCUAGAUAUACAUGUAAUGAAAUCUUAUAUAAUGGGAUGGAGGGAGUGUUGAACUACAUCAUUUUUCAAUUGUUGUUUAGCUUCUAAUAUUAACUUGGUGCUUUUAGGUACAUAUAUCAUUGCCAAAGAUCCACACUUCGACCCUUUCUACGUAUGGGGCAAUGAGAUAUUCAUGAACCAGCAUCAAGUGAGGAAACUGAUAAAGAUUGUUAUUAAAAUGGGUCAAAAGAUGUCAAUCGAACUAUUUGUUUACAAUUUAUGCAAGACAACAGUGAAUUGCAGGAUGGUAAGUAAGAACCCUGUAGCCUUCCUUUUACUGCCUGUAAUGAGUUGUGUUAGAUGAAAAUGUCUGAAUCUUUUUUCUUUUGUAGUGGAUCCUGAAGCAGUUUACUCAAGAUUACCUCUCAAACUACAUGAUUGGCGGCCGGCCAUCACAAGGGGUUGGACUAGAUUCAUGCAUGCCUUUUGCACCUAGGAGAGCACAAUAGGGCCAUUCUGCUUCACCAUGUUCAACAAUCGGAAUGCCUGUCGCCUCUUUCUUUACCAUCUGUAAUAGUAUAAGUAUAGAACCUUGGUUCAUCAUUCUUUAUUUGGUGCUUAUGUAAUUCUUAAACAUAUGUACCUGUGAAUCGAAUAAUGCAUUGGUUGUUUGAACCUGAUGGAUAUGAAUAAAGCUAUAGCCUACUUUCAAGUUUAAAUUAGGUACAAUUUUAAAUAGCAGCAAUUAAAUUAGGGCGAAAUUACGGUGUGCAUGUCAUUACGGCGCACACGGUUAAUAAAGCACAGCGUGUGCGAUAUACAUCAUAAUCCAACACGGUUCACGGAGAGGAAGCGUGUGUAACAAUGCACACAUUACCGUUUGCAAAGCGUGUGUGAUGUCAGACACUAUCACAUAUGGUGCGGGAAAACUAAAUAUGUGUGAUUGUCUACCUAUGUACACGGUUCAUAAUCAUGAACUGUUUGUGAUGUGCCAGGCAUCGUAAAACUCCCGUGCCUGGAAUCUGCUUGGAAUCUGCCUGGAAAGCUCCCGUGCCUGGAAUCUGCUUGGUUUUAGGUAAAACCACAAAACUUCAACUGCGAUGGCAAUGCGAGCACAAACGAGUAGCAAGGAUGAAGCGUUUGGGAUAUUCGAGAUAUCGAAAACGGUUAUAUAGGGACAACUAUAUGCAUCAAGGCUCCCUAUCCCCGACGAUCUCUGGUUCGUGUGGGAAGGACCCCCCUAUCGCCGUCACUCACUAGGCGACGGUUCAAAAUGCCGUCGCGGAAACGGGUUAAAACCGUUUGUAUAGCACUGACACGUACUACUGUGUGCACGACUAUGAACAUACAACUAGUAUUAAAUAGUGGGCACAUCAUCGACAAAUAUGAAGAGAGCAGGGCGGAAGAGCGAAUGAAGUUGAGCUUGUGUAGAACCAAUCAAGAUAAAGAAAGACAGGAAAAAAAUGUAAAUCCAAACAAGGAAAAAUGCAAGAGUUUUUCCCAACAAUCUAAAAUCCCAAAUAUUUAGCUAAAGAUACAUUAAUACAACUAGCACACAGGUCACCCAACCUAGGGUUUACGUUGCCUCCUCCCACGCAGCCGCUAGGCUGUCUCGUCUCCUGUGGCCUUUGGGCCAUGGAGGCGUGAUGGAUCCCAGUCCUUGCCGGCGGGAGUGCUCCAUUUUUAGGUGUUUCUUUGAGUUUUGCUAGCAUUUGUCAUACUUAUGAAGACAUGGCUACGACCGCUCUCUGUAGAUGGGAUAAGUUUCUCGUCGCCUAGCCCCCGCCCCGAUGAUGCUUCUAGUGUCACCGGAGGGCGUGUGGAGGUUUGUCUCGGGUGAAUCUCGUGGGAUUCGGUCCAUGUUUGUCUUCGGUGGAUCCGCUUGGAUCCGAUCUUUGUUCGUCUAUGUUCAUGUGUCUACAUGUUGGAUCCUUCCAAUCUAUGUUUCUUUUCAUUGGCGACGAUUGUUGUUCUGGUGCGCUGGUCCUCUAGGUCUUAGCAUGACGACUUCCCGAUUGUUUAUUGCAACAAGGUUUGCCUCGACUCCAAUGAUGGAGGCGUGAUGACGGUGGUGUGCCUUCGACACGCUCUAGUGCUUGUAGUCGUCGCUGGGUGGUCUAUGGACCCCGGAUGUAAUUUUUACUUCUGGUGUUUUUUUGUACUACCUUGAUAGUUAAUGAACAGAUUGGAUGUUUUUUCCUGCAAAAAAGAUACAUUAAUCCAACUCAAAUCAGAAUGCACAAAAAUCCCAAAAUAAUGUUGGGGACCAGUUCAUGGACAAGGAUGCAUGGAGCCGGCCAUCCAACACCAUCUGCAUACAUCCAGGCCCAAUUUUUUAAGUCCGCACGUUUAAAUAGCUGCAUGUAUAGUCUAGAAUAGUUCAAAUGCUCAAAUAUUACACUCCAACAUUGUUGUCCCCCUUAACCGCCAAGAAAUGCUCAAUCAGAUCUUCCUUUAGUUGCUCGUGAGUUGCUCAAUGUCGAUUUUGUCGAUGCAUUUGAACAAAACUCUUCGACCGUGGUUGGAUUCUGGUCUAGAAGUUCGAUAGGAUCACCCAUGUUCUCAAAUUCAAGAGUUGUCGCAACAUUCUCACCCUCAUCCUCCACGAUCAUGUUGUGCAUGAUCAAACAACAUGUCAUCACCUCCCACAAGGUCUUCAGAUCCCAUUGUUUAGUAGGUCUGCAGACAAAUGUGAAACAUGCCUGCAGAACUCCAAAUGCCCUCUCAACAUUCUUUCUAGCCGCUUCUAGUCUUUGGACAAAGUGAGACUUUUUCUGGCAAUUGUGUUAGAGAUGGUGUUGACAAAGGUAGCCCAUGGAGGAUAGAUAUAUACCAUCAACCAGAUAAUAGCCCAUGUUGUACUCAUGCCCAUUGACAGUAUAGUGCCAAGGAUGAGAUUUUGAUUCGGUCAGCCUAGCAAACAAUGGUGAUCGCUACAACACAUUGUUGUCAUUGUGAGGCCCGGGAAUGCCAAAUAAAGCGUGCAAAAUCCAAAGAUCAUGUGAUGCAACUGCUUCAAGAAUGAUGGUGGGCUUCUUAACAUGACCCUGAUAUUGCCCCUGUAAAGCUUUCGAGUAGUUCUUCCAUUCCUAAUGCAUACAGUUAAGAGAUACGAGCAAACCUGGCCACCCUCUUACUUACGAGAUUGCUAAGAUCCUCUCGGUGUCUACCAUAGUUGGUUCUCUUAGGUACAGAGGUCCAAACACCUCGACCAUGGCAGUUGCAAACCUGACCAUGUCAUCUCCGUAUGUGCUCUCAAACACCCGCAAGUACAUGUCCCACGAAUCAGUGGCAGUGCCAUAUGCAAGCAUUCGUAGUGCGGCCUUGCACUUUUGGUAACCAGAGAACUCAAUCAUUCCCAUGUUCCCUCUUCAUUAUGAAGUAGUCAUCAAAGGACCAGAUGCCAUGGUAGAGACGAUCAAAGAUGCGCAUUCGAAAGCACCGGCAAAAAAUGUCGGCAAAGAGGGCACCAGGGGGCAAAGAAGUCAUUCGUCAAUGUCAAAUGGCUGCACGCCCUGUUGCGAUUGAGCACUCGAUGACCCUUGAUCGAUCCCUUGCAAUUGAGAACACGCUCCUCCGCACGCUCCGCAUCCGUAAGCACCGUCUGCAUCAUUGUUGUCUUACCCGUGUAGUCCUCCUCGUCGAAUGAGCCGUUGGAUGACUCAACAUAAUGCUCAUAUAUGUACUCCACAUCCGAAUGCAUUGCUUCAAAUAAGAAGGGACAAAAAAUAGCUCAGACAAUUCACCGAACAAUUGCCAGGCAUGGUGAGUAUUGUAGGAGCGGAUGGUACCUACACAGCGGUCGGAGGGAAGGUGUGGAACGGUGGCGGAGGAGAAGCGAAUGAAGCCCGGGUGUACCGUUGGAGGUGAUGGGCUCAUUGGGUUCUGGCAGGGGUGUGGCGUGGCGGCCGUGGUGGUGGAGCGGCGGCAAAGGCAAGAGAGAGAAGCUGACAGAGAGAAAAUGGGAGGAUGGAGGCGCGGGAUCGUGGGGUUGGGUUGGCCGGAGGCGUUGGAGUCCUACGUGCUGAAGGAAAUAUGCCCUAGAGGCAAUAAUAAAGUUAUUAUUUAUUUUCUUAUAUCAUGAUAAAUGUUUAUUAUUCAUGCUAGAAUUGUAUUAACCGGAAACAUGAUACAUGUGUGAAUACAUAGACAAACAGAGUGUCACUAGUAUGCCUCUACUUGACUAACUCGUUGAAAGAUGGUUAUGUUUCCUAGCCAUAGACAAAGAGUUGUAAUUUGAUUAAUGGGAUCACAUCAUUAGGAGAAUGAUGUGAUUGACUUGACCCAUUCCGUUAGCUUAGCACUUGAUCGUUUAGUUUGUUGCUAUUGCUUUCCUCAUGAAUUAUACAUGUUCCUAUGACUAUGAGAUUAUGCAACUCCCGUUUACCGGAGGAACACUUUGUGUGCUACCAAACGUCACAACGUAACUGGGUGAUUAUAAAGGUGCUCUACGGGUGUCUCCGAAGGUACUUGUUGGUUGUCGUAUUUCGAGAUUAGGAUUUGUCACUCCAAUUGUCGAAGAGGUAUCUUUGGGCCCACUCAGUAAUGCACAUCACUUAAGCCUUGCAAGCAUUGCAACUAAUGAGUUAGUUGCGGGAUGAUGUGUUACGGAAUGAGUAAAGAGACUUGUCGGUAAUGAGAUUGAACUAGGUAUUGAGAUACCGACGAUCGAAUCUCGGGCAAGUAACAUACCGAUGACAAAGGGAACAACGUAUGUUGUUAUGCGGUUUGACCGAUAAAGAUCUUCAUAGAAUAUGUAGGAGCCAAUAUGAGCAUCCAGGUUCCGCUAUUGGUUAUUGACCAGAGACGUGUCUCGGUCAUGUCUACAUAGUUCUCGAACCUGUAGGGUCCGCACGCUUAAAGUUCAAUGACGGUUAUAUUAUGAGUUUAUGUGUUUUGAUGUACUGAAGGUAGUUCGGAGUCCCGGAUAUGAUCACAGACAUGAUGAGGAGUCUCGAAAUGGUCGAGACAUGAAGAUUGAUAUAUUGGACGACUAUAUUCAGACACCGGAAUGGUUCCGGGAGUUAUCGGAUAUAUACCAGAGUACAGGGGGGUUACUAGACCCCCCCCCCCGGAGGUUAAUGGGCCUCAUGGGCCCAAUUGGUGAAAGAGGAGAGGCGGCCAAGGGGCAGCCGCGCGCCCCUCCCCUCCCAAGUCCGAAUUGGACUAGGAAGGGGGGCGGCGCUCCCCUUCCUCUUUCUCCCUCUUUCUCCUUCUCUCUCCUCUCCUACUCCAACAUGAAAAGGGGGGAGUCCUACUCCCGCUGGGAGUAGGACUCCUCAUGGGGCGCUCCAAGGGUGACCGACCCCCUCCCCCUCCUCUACCCCUUUAUAUACGGGGAGGGAGGCACCCCCUAGAGACACAACAAUUGAUCCCUUGGAUCUCUUAGCCGUGUGCAGUGCCCCCCUCCACCAUAAUCCACCUCAGUCAUAUCGUAGCGGUGCUUAGGCGAAGCCCUGUGUCGGUAGAACAUCAUCAUCGUCACCACGCCGUCGUGCUGAUGGAACUCUCCCUCAAAGCUCGGCUGGAUCAGAGUUCGAGGGACGUCAUCGAGUUGAACUUGUGCAGAACUCGGAGGUGCCAUGUGUUCGGUGCUUGAUCGGCCGGAUCGUGAAGACGCACGACUACAUCAACCACGUUGUGCUAACGCUUUCACUUUCGGUCUACGAGGGUGCGUGGACAACACUCUCCCCUCUCGUUGCUAUUCAUCACCAUGAUCUUGCGUGUGCAUAGGAUUUUUUUGAAAUUACUACAUUCACCAACAGUGGCAUCCGAGCCUGGUUUUAUGUGUUGAUGUUAUAUGCACGAGUAGAACACAGGUGAGUUGUGGGUGAUACAAGUCAUACUGCUUACCAGCAUGUCAUACUUUGGUUCGGCGGUAUUGUUGGAUGAAGCGGCCCUGACCGACAUUACGCGUAUGCUUACGCGAGACUGGUUCUCCCGACGUGCUUUGCACACAGGUGGCUGGCGGGUGUCAGUUUCUCCAACUUUAGUUGAACCGAGUGUGGCUACACCCGGUCCUUGAGAAGGUUAAAACAACAAUAACUUGACGAACUAUCGUUGUGGUUUUGAUGCGUAGGUAAGAACAGUUCUUGCUCAGCCCAUAGCAGCCACGUAAAACUUGCAACAACAAAGUAGAGGACGUCUAACUUGUUUUUGCAGGGCAUGUUGUGAUGUGAUAUGGUCAAGGCAUGAUGUUAUUUUUUUGUUGUAUGAGAUGAUCAUUUUUUGUAACCGAGUUAUUGGCAACUGGCAGGAGCCAUAUGGUUGUCGCUUUAUUGUAUGCAAUGCAAUCGCCCUGUAAUGCUUUACUCUAUCACUAAGCGAUAGCGAUAGUCGUAGAAGCAUAAGUUGGCGAGACGACAACGAUGCUACGAUGGAGAUCAAAGUGUCACGCCGGUGACAAUGGUGAUCAUGACGGUGCUUCGGAGAUGAAGAUCACAAGCCCAAGAUGAUGAUGGCCAUAUCAUAUCACUUAUAUUGAUUGCAUGUGAUGUUUAUCUUUUAUGCAUCUUAUCUUGCUUUGGUUGACGGUAGCAUUAUAAGAUGAUCUCUCACUAAAUUAUCAAGGUAUAAGUGUUCUCCCUGAGUAUGCACCAUUGCGAAAGUUCUUCGUGCUGAGACACCACGUGAUGAUCGGGUGUGAUAGGCUCUACGUUCAAAUACAACGGGUGCAAAACAGUUGCACACGCGGAAUACUUAGGUUAAACUUGACGAGCCUAGUGUAUGCAGAUAUGGCCUCGGAACACUGAGACCCAAAGGUCAAGCGUGAAUCAUAUAGUAGAUAUGAUCAACAUAGUGAUGUUCACCAUUGAAACUACUCCAUCUCACAUGAUGAUCGGACAUGGUUUAGUUGAUCUGGAUCACGUGAUCACUUAGAGGAUUAGAGGGAUGUCUAUCUAAGUGGGAGUUCUUAAGUAAUAUGAUUAAUUAAACUUAAAUUUAUCAUGAACUUAGUACCUAAUAGUUUUUUGCUUGUCUAUGUUGAUUGUAGAUAGAUGGCUCGUGUUGUUGUUUCGUCGAAUUUUAAUGCAUUCCUUGAGAAAGCAAAGUUGAAAAAUGAUGGUAGCAAUUACAUGGACUUGGUCCGUAACUUGAGGAUUAUCCUCAUUGCUGCACAGAAAAAUUACGUCCUGGAAGCACCACUGGGUACCAGGCCUGCUGCAGAUGCUGCUGAUAAUGUUAAGAACAUUUGGCAGAGUAAAGCUGAUGACUACUCAAUAGUUCAGUGUGCCAUGCUUUACGGCUUAGAACCGGGACUUCAACGAUGUUUUGAACGUCAUGGAGCAUAUGAGAUGUUCGAGGAGUUGAAGUUAAUAUUUCAAGCAAAUGCCCAGAUUGAGAGAUACAAAGUCUCCAAUAAGUUCUAUAGCUGCAAGAUGGAGGAGAAUAGUUCUGUCAGUGAACAUAUACUCCAAAUGUCUAGGUAUCAUAAUCACUUGACUCAACUGGGAGUUAAUCUUCCUGUUGAUAGUGUCAUUGACAGAAUUCUUCAAUUACUGCCACCAAGCUACAAAAACUUUGUGAUGAACUAUAAUAUGCAAGGGAUGAAUAAGACAAUUCCCGAGCUCUUCGCGAUGCUAAAGGCUGCAAAGGUAGAAAUCAAAAAGGAGCAUCAAGUGUUGAUGGUCAACAAGACCAUUAGUUUCAUGAAAAAGGGUAAAGGGAAGAAUAAGGGGAACUUCAAGAAGAAUGACAAACAAGUUGCUACUCAAGAGAAGAAACCCAAGUCUGGACCUAAGCCUGAAACUGAGUGCUUCUACUACAAACAGACUGGUCACUGGAAGUGGAACUGCCCCAAGUAUUUGGCGGAUAAGAAGGAUGGCAAGGUGAACAAAGGUAUAUGUGAUAUACAUGUUAUUGAUGUGUACCUUACUAAUGCUCGCAGUAGCACCUGGGUAUUUGAUACUGGUUCUGUUGCUAAUAUUUGCAACUCGAAACAGGGACUACAGAUUAAGCGAAGAUUGGCUAAGGACGAGGUGACGAUGCCCGUGGGAAAUGGUUCCAAAGUCGAUGUGAUCGCAGUCGGCACGCUACCUCUACAUAUACCUUCGGGAUUAGUUUUAGACCUGAAUAAUUAUUAUUUGGUGCCAGCAUUAAGCAUGAACAUUAUAUCUGGAUCUUGUUUGAUGCGAGACGGUUAUUCAUUUAAAUCAGAGAAUAAUGAUUGUUCUAUUUAUAUGAGUAAUAUCUUUUAUGGUCAUGUACCCUUGAAGAGUGGUCUAUUCUUAUUGAAUCUCGAUAGUAGUGAUACACAUAUUCAUAAUAUUGAAGCCAAAAGAUGCAGAGUUGAUGAUGAUAGUGCAACUUAUUUGUGGCACUGCCGUUUAAGUCAUAUUGGUGUAAAGCGCAUGAAGAAGCUCCAUACUGAUGGACUUUUGGAACCACUUGAUUGUGAAUCACUUGGUACUUGCGAACCGUGCCUCAUGGGCAAGAUGACUAAAACGCCGUUCUCCGGAACUAUGGAGCGAGCAACAGAUUUGUUGGAAAUCAUACAUACAGAUGUAUGUGGUCUGAUGAAUGUUGAGGCUCGCGACGGGUAUCAUUAUUUUCUCACAUUCACAGAUGAUUUAAGCAGAUAUGGGUGUAUCUACUUAAUGAAACAUAAGUCUGAAACAUUUGAAAAGUUCAAAGAAUUUCAGAGUGAAGUUGAAAAUCAUCGUAACAAGAAAAUAAAGUUUCUACGAUCUGAUCGUGGAGGAGAAUAUUUGAGUUACGAGUUUGGUCUUCAUUUGAAACAAUGCGGAAUAGUUUCGCAACUCACGCCACCUGGAACACCACAACGUAAUGGUGUGUCCGAAUGUCGUAAUCGUACUUUACUAGAUGUGGUGCGAUAUAUGAUGUCUCUUACUGAUUUAUCGCUAUCAUUUUGGGGUUAUGCUUUAGAGACGGCUGCAUUCACGUUAAAUAGGGCACCAUCGAAAUCCGUUGAGACGACGCCUUAUGAACUAUGGUUUGGCAAGAAACCAAAGAUGUCGUUUCCUAAAGUUUGGGGCUGCGAUGCUUAUGUGAAAAAACUUCAACCUGAUAAGCUCGAACCCAAAUCGGAGAAAUGUGUCUUCAUAGGAUACCCAAAGGAAACUGUUGGGUACACCUUCUAUCACAGAUCUGAAGGCAAAACAUUUGUUGCUAAAUUUGGAUCCUUUCUAGAGAAGGAGUUUCUCUCGAAAGAAGUGAGUGGGAGGAAAUUAGAACUUGAUGAGGUAACUGUACCUGCUCCCUUAUUGGAAAGUAGUUCAUCACAGAAACCGGUUCCUGUGACACCUACACCAAUUAGUGAGAAAGUUAAUGGUGAUGAUCAUGAAACUUCAGAUCAAGUUGUUACUAAACCACGUAGGUCAACCAGAGUAAGAUCCGCACCAGAGUGGUGUAGUAAUCCUGUCCUGGAGGUUAUGUUGCUAGACCAUGACGAACCUACGAACUAUGAAGAAGCGAUGGUGAGCCCAGAUUCCGCAAAAUGGCUCGAGGCCAUGAAAUCUGAGAUGGGAUCCAUGUAUGAGAACAAAGCGUGGACUUUGGUUGACUUGCCCGUUGAUCGGCAAGCCAUUAAAAAUAAAUGGAUCUUCAAGAAGAAGACUGACGCUGAUGGUAAUGUUACUGUCUAUAAAGCUAGACUUGUUGCAAAAGGUUUUCGACAAGUUCAAGGGAUUGACUACGAUGAGACUUUCUCACCCGUAGCGAUGCUUAAGUCUGUCCGAAUCAUGUUAGCAAUUGUUGCAUUUUAUGAUUAUGAAAUUUGGCAAAUGGAUGUCAAAACUACAUUCCUGAAUGGAUUUCUGGGAGAAUAGUUGUAUAUGAUGCAACCGGAAGGUUUUGUCGAUCCAAAGGGAGCUAACAAAGUGUGCAAGCUCCAGCGAUCCAUUUAUGGACUGGUGCAAGCCUCUCGGAGUUGGAAUAAACGUUUUGAUAGUGUGAUCAAAGCAUAUGGUUUUAUACAGACUUUUGGAGAAGACUGUAUUUACAAGAAAGUGAGUGGGAGCUCUGUAGCAUUUCUGAUAUUAUAUGUGGAUGACAUAUUGUUGAUUAGAAAUGAUAUAGAAUUUCUGGAUAGCAUAAAAGGAUAUUUGAAUAAUAGUUUUUCAAUGUAACACCUCGGUAAAGCUGCUUAUAUAUUAGGCAUCAAGAUCUAUAGAGAUAGAUCGAGACGCUUAAUUGGACUUACACAAAGCACAUACCUUGACAAAGUUUUGAAGAAGUUCAAAAUGGAUCAAGCAAAGAAAGGGUUCUUGCCUGUGUUACAAGGUAUGAAGUUGAGUAAGACUCAAUGCCCGACCACUGCAGAAGAUAGAGAGAAAAUGAAAGAUGUUCCCUAUGCUUCAGCCAUAGGCUCUAUCAUGUAUGCAAUGCUGUGUACCAGACCUGAUGUGUGCCUUGCUAUUAGUUUAGCAGGGAGGUACGAAAGUAAUCCAGGAGUGGAUCACUGGACAGCGGUCAUAAACAUCUUGAAAUACCUGAAAAGGACGAAGGAUGUUUUUCUCGUUUAUGCAGGUGACAGAGAGCUCGUCGUAAAUGGUUACGUCGAUGCAAGCUUUGACACUGAUCCGGACGAUUCUAAAUCGCAAAGCAAAUACGUAUUUUUAUUAAAUGGUGGAGUUGUCAGUUGGUGCAGUUCUAAACAAAGCGUCGUAGCGGGGUCUACAUGUGAAGCGGAGUACAUAGCUGCUCCGGAAGCAGCAAAUGAAGGAGUUCAUAUCUGAUCUAGGUGUCAUACCUAGUGCAUCAGGUCCAAUAAAAAUCUUUUGUGACAAUACUGGUGCAAUUGCUUUGGCAAAGGAAUCCAGAUUUCACAAGAGAACCAAGCACAUCAAGAGGUGCUUCAACUCCAUCCGGGAUCAAGUCCAGGUGGGAGACAUAGAGAUUUGCAAGAUACAUACGGAUCUGAAUGUUGCUGACCCGUUGACUAAGCCUCUUCCACGAGCAAAACAUGAUCAACACCAAGGCUCCAUGGGUGUUAGAAUCAUUACUGUGUAAUCUAGAUUAUUGACUCUAGUGCAAGUGGGAGACUGAAGGAAAUAUGCCCUAGAGGCAAUAAUAAAGUUAUUAUUUAUUUCCUUAUAUCAUGAUAAAUGUUUAUUAUUCAUGCUAGAAUUGUAUUAACCGGAAACAUGAUACAUGUGUGAAUACAUAGACAAACAGAGUGUCACUAGUAUGCCUCUACUUGACUAGCUCGUUGAUCAAAGAUGGUUAUGUUUCCUAGCCAUAGACAAAGAGUUGUCAAAUGAUUAAUGGGAUCACAUCAUUAGGAGAAUGAUGUGAUUGACUUGACUCAUUCCGUUAGCUUAGCACUUGAUCGUUUAGUUUGUUGCUAUUGAUUUCUUCAUGACUUAUACAUGUUCCUAUGACUAUGAGAUUAUGCAACUCCUGUUUACCGGAGGAACACUUUGUGUGCUACCAAAUGUCACAAUGUAACUAGGUGAUUAUAAAGGUGCUCUACAGGUGUCUUCGAAGGUACUUGUUGGGUUGGCGUAUUUCGAGAUUAGGAUUUGUCACUCCGAUUGUCGCAGAGGUAUCUCUGGACCCACUCGGUAAUGCACAUCACUUAAGCCUCAAGCAUUGCAACUAAUGAGUUAGUUGCGGGAUGAUGUGUUACGGAACGAGUAAAGAGACUUGACGGUAACGAGAUUUAACUAGGUAUUGAGAUACCGACGAUCGAAUCUCGGGCAAGUAACAUACCGAUGACACAGGGAACAAUGUAUGUUGUUAUGCGGUUUGACCGAUAAAGAUCUUCGUAGAAUAUGUAGGAGCCAAUAUGAGCAUCCAAGUUCCGCUAUUGGUUAUUGACCGGAGACGUGUCUCGGUCAUGUCUACAUAGUUCUCGAACCCGUAGGGUCCGCACACUUAAAGUUCGAUGACAGUUAUAUUAUGAGUUUAUGUGUUUUGAUGUACCGAAGGUAGUUCGGAGUCCCGGAUGUGAUCACGGACAUGACGAGGAGUCUCGAAACGGUCGAGACAUGAAGAUUGAUAUAUUGGACGACUAUAUUCGGACACCGGAAUGGUUCCGGGGGUUAUCAGAUAUAUACCGGAGUACCGGGGGGUUACCGGAACCCCCCGGAGGAUUAAUGGGCCUCAUGGGCCCAAUUGGUGAAAUAGAAGAGUCGGCCAAGGGGCAGGCGCGCGCCCCUCCCCUCCCAAGUCCGAAUUGGACUAGGAAGUGGGGCGGCGCCCCCCCUUUUCUUUCUCCCUCUUUCUCCUUCCCUCUCCUCUCCUACUCCAACAUGAAAAGGGGGGAGUCCUACUCCCAUCGGGAGUAGGACUCCUCAUGGGGCGUGCCAAGGGUGGCCGGCCCCCUCCCCCUCCUCUACUCCUUUAUAUACGGGGAGGGAGGCACCCCCUAGAGGCACAACAAUUGAUCCCUUGGAUCUCUUAGCCGUGUGCGGUGCCCCCCUCCACCAUAAUCCACCUCGGUCAUAUCAUAGCGGUGUUUAGGCGAAGCCCUGCGUCGGUAGAACAUCAUCAUCGUCACCACGCCGUCGUGCUGAUGGAACUCUCCCUCAAAGCUCGGCUGGAUCGGAGUUCGAGGAACGUCAUCAAGUUAAACGUGUGCAGAACUCGAAGGUGUCGUGCGUUCGGUGCUUGAUCGGUCGGAUCGUGAAGACGUAUGACUACAGCAACCGCGUUGUGCUAAUGCUUCCGCUUUCGGUCUACGAGGGUACGUGGACAACACUCUCCCCUCUCGUUGCUAUGCAUCACCAUGAUCUUGCGUGUGCGUAGGAUUUUUUUUGAAAUUACUACGUUCCCCAACACGUGGUUGUUGUUUGGACUCCCGCAAAGCUCUUGGUUUAUCUCAAGCUUGUCGAAAAAAGUACGUCUGGACCGCUCGACGGACUGAUACAUGCCCGCGUUGGACGGCUAAACACGCCUGAACCGACGGUUGCAGGCUGUUUGAUGGUUCGCUUUGGAGAUGCCCUAAAAGCGUCGCCUUCUCUUCUCUUUCGUGCAUAGAUCAACCGAUAUAUCGUGACAUACUAGGUAUUUUACAUAUCACACGUUUUGUACGAGACACGACUAUAGCGCGUCAUUACUUCUCACGCCAAACAAUAGCAACCGCUCGAUGCGACAAUCCCGUAAUCACGCCUCACCCCUCUCUGUACAUAUAUUCAUCGAACCGUCGUCUUCCAUCUCUCGCCACAAUCCUUCUCCUCGUUAGUGUUAUUUUCGCCUUUCGCCCCCUCCACCUUAUCUUCUUCGACGACUUCAAGAUCGAUUGUCACUUCCAGUUGGCGGAGUGCCGCCGUGAUGCCAAGGCGGCACCGCCCCGCCGUGGCUCGCACUUCCACCCCCAUGGUUGCAUCUUAUGCCCCCUCUUUUUUGGGAAAGAAAAACAAAAUUUUGACCUUUCUUAUUGUUGAUUGAUGUGCAGGAUGGUCGAAAAUCUAGCGGAAAUUGCCAAAUCGGCCAGAGCGAGAGGCGUGGCAAUCGUCGGAGCGCCCGCUCCAAGCAACCUUCCACCCCCAUGGUUUGCAUCUUGUGCCCCUUGUUUUUGAGGAAAGAAAUUCACAUUUUUGCCCCUUGUUAUUGUUGAUUGAUGGUUUGGUGUGCAGGAGGGGCUAAAACCUAGGAAAAAUUGCCAAAUCGGCCAGAGCGAGGGGCGUGGCAACCAUCGGGCCGCCGGAUCCAAGCAAGCGACGGCCGAGAUCUCCCCAGGGUGCUGCGUGCACUGCCCCGCGGCGGCGGCGGCUCCGGCUCGGACGCAAGGCCGCCCAAAAGCGGAGCAGGAUCGCCCCCGACGCGUCCGUGGGCAAAAUUGGCAGGCCGCGCCCGCGCCGAAGUGGCCCAAACCCCCCCAUAAAUCGCCCGCCGAUUCCAAACACCGCUCCACUCCACCACCCCCUCGCAAGGCCGAGCCACAGAGAGCCGCACCGAAAUCGCGUCCCGUCGUGCAAAGGGAGCGGGGGGUUGGGAGCGGGACAAAUCUCCCUCGUCAGCACCUCCACCACCACCGUCCACCGCCACCCCGCUCUCGCCCCCUCCAGCCUCGCCCCUCGCGUGGGAGGGACGCCGUGUCCUCCUGCCCCCACCGCGCCGCGCGGGGAAACCCUAGCGGCUGCAGAUCUCCGGGCAGGCGCCCCGAUCCGGGCGGCCCGCGCCCCGAUUCGGCCCUCCCGGCGCCUCAAAUGGCGGCGGACGGGGCGGACAGCGACCUUGAGGAGCAACUCAAGGAUGUCGGCGCCCGCCUGCAGGAGGCGCCCGACGACUCCGACGGCCUGCUCAAGCUCCUCUACGUGAGCCUUCUCUCUCAACUUUGUGUGUUUAUCUUAUUUGGUUUUCUGUGUCCGUUACGGCUGCCUGUAGGGUUUGUCGUCGUGGUUGCAUCUAUGGCUUUCGGAUGAUUGUAAUAAGCUUUAUGUUUACCUAGUCGCUGCUUCUCUUGAUUUUGUCUAAUUCUUGGUCCUGGCAUAAAAGGAGAGUGUUUUCAGUCAUUGGUAGAGCGUCAUCUAUUGUUGGGUACUUAUAUGUACAUGAUUAUGUAUCUAUUGUUAGAUAGAGGUGUUAGCUUCCUUGAAAUACACCCUGCUCUUCAGAAUUGGAGUAACUGCCGAGUCUGAUUAUGUCAGCGGCCAUUAUAGCUUAAACUUGCUCAUGUGAUUUAACAAGUUGAUCUUUUUCUAUAUGCAGGACGUCGAGAAAUAUCUGUUGAGAGUGGAGCAAUCACCUGCAGCAAGCACAUUUGCUGCUGUUCGCCCAGCAAUGGAUGCCCUGAUCAAGAACGAACUUUUGACUCACCCUAAUGCCGAGGUCAAACUUGCUAUAGCAUCUUGUAUAUCUGAGGUUACAAGGAUCACUGCACCCGAGGCUCCGUAUGAUGACAAUAUUAUGAGGGUACUGUGUCUUUCCUGAUUAUAAGAUUUAUUUAUUCUCUACCCUGUAUCCUGACCUGUGCUGUCUACUUUGUCAGGAUUUGUUUUCCAUAAUUGUGGGGACUUUUCAGAAUUUAGAUGAUAUUGAGAGCCCGUCCUUUGCAAGGAGGAUUUCAAUUCUCGAGACUGUGGCAAAGGUCCGGUCGUGUGUGGUCAUGUUAGACCUUGAGUUGGAUGAUCUGAUUCUGCAGAUGUUUAACCAUUUUUUCACAACUGUGACGUAAGAAGCCACUUCUCGUUAUUCACCUUAAGUUUAUCUAUUACUACUUCUUGCUAGUUUCUGGGUAUGUUUACUAAGUUUUGCUAAGCUAUGUUGCUAUUCUCCUGACAUGUCUAAGGUGUUAUUUUACUUGCCUAAAAUGUUUUUUCUUUUCUUGUUAUGUGUUCUUAAUGGACAAAUUCUUAGAUAAUAUGCUGUACCUGCUAUGUACCCUUUUUCUUAACAAUCUAGCAGAAUUAUCAGAUCCUGGUAUCUUAUUCAAUGUUUUUGCUAAAAGAAGAUUAUAACUUUAUUUAUUUAAACUCAUUAAACUCACACCAAGCUGCCAAUAUUAUAGCGGUUGUUGCUUUGCAAGUUGCUAGCAUUGCCUUUUUAUGUUGGAAAAUGCUGCAUUCCCCUUCCUGGUAAUUGUAAUAGUUGUUAAAAGAGAUGCACUUUCUUUUACAUUGAUAUGUUUGUUCAAUUAAAUUAACAUGAUGAUGGUACGUGAGACAUUAUCAUUUUAGAUGUACCCACCGUAUUUUUCUGGACUUGAUUCUAAUGGAAAUUACCUUUUGUCAUCCUGUGUUCAGAUCAAACCAACCAGAAAUUGUCAUAUCAUCUAUGGUAACAACAAUGAAACUUGUAAUAGAUGAGAGUGAAGAAAUACAGACAGCGCUUGCAUCGUAUCUUCUUCAAAAGGCUAGAAAUGAGGAGAGGGUAUAUCAUUUCAACUUUCUUCAUGCCGAUAAUAUGGAUUUACCUUGCCCAAGCAAGGAGGGAGGUUCACAUAUACUAAUUUUUUUUGUUUUUUGUUCCCAGGAAACGUCUCCAGCAUCUUUUGAACUUGCAGAGAAGGUGAUCAGCUCAUGUGAAGAUGGGAAGCUAAAACCAAUAUUCCUGCAGUUACUUCAAGUUCAAGGCACUCCCUUGGAUGACUACAGCAAAAUUGUCACGCUGGUUUGUGAAGGUGAUAAGGUUGUCAGGGAAGACAACAAUGUUGAUCCUUCUGGAAAGGACACGGUCAGUAAUAUUACUUGCAUGUCGUAACUAUUAUUAUAGGUGUAAAUCAUCAUGCUUAUAAUAAUAUCUUAGUAUGUUGUCUGAUGUGUCUGUAAUUCAUAAAUGCUCUCAGUUCUCUUGAAUAGACUGAGAGGGGUCACAUGGAUGAUGAAACUGUGAUUUGUUUUAGCAUGUACGAUGAAUUUAACAGCCUGAUCUGAGUAAUACUUAACAAAUAAUUCAUUUGAUCCCUGAAAAGGAUAAUAUGUUGGCUGUAUGGUGUUUGUGUGGAUGCACCUGUUCAUACCUUUGAGUUUUCACAUUCAGGUGGAUGAUGGCAAACUUUCGGAAAGGACUAUUUCUGAUGAACUGCCUCAGGUAUGUUUCUAUACCCAUGGAAGGGGAUCCCUUGUUGAAAUGAUUGAUAGUACAGCAACACAUCUCUAUUUCCAGGAAUCUUCAAAACUGGAGCAAGAUGGUACUCCGACUACUGCUAUUAGUAGUGGUGCAACUCUGGUUGAUCAUGGUGAGGCUAAUCAAGGACCAUUUUCUCCAAAAGGACAAGCGUCUCCAAAGGGAUCAGCGUCUCCAAAGGGAUCAGCGUCUCCAAAGGGACCAGUGUCUCCAAAAGGACCGGUGUCACCAAAAGGAUCAGCGUCACCAAAAGGGAAGCCUGAACAGCCUGAAGACACAAAAGAUGCUGAUCAGUUGAAAUCUGCUAAUGAUGGUGUAGAACCUGUUGAUGCAAAGCCCAAGAAGCCAUCUGAUCUUGAUUCAGACAAAGACCUGAAGCUCAAACCCUGCAAGUCUGUGGCUACUCCACACUCUAAUGUUGAUGUUGACAAAGAAGCUCAUGUAGUAUCUGGAGAGUUAUCUGCAGACAAGAAGGUAGUCAAUGGAGUGGCUGAUAAUGUACCAAAGCGUGCUGAUACCACACCCGAUGUAGUUAAGCCAAAACGAGGCCGACCUCCUGGACCAAAGUCAUCAGAGAAAAAGGCUGCUAGAAAUAACCAAUCUUCAGAUUUAGAUUUGAAGAAGACUGAGGAGGCUAUGGAUUCAACUGGGAAGUUAACAAAGCGAUCAGCUAAGGAUGAUAUCAAAGCUUCCACAAAAAAGACUGGUGAAGGAGAAUCAUCAAAGAAGCAGCAAAAACCCAGUUUGAAACAGCACAAGGAAGAAGUCCUCUCUGAGGAGGACACCACCAAGGAUAUGACUCUAAAGGUUAUUUUCUUACCAGUUGUUGAUUUUUGUACACAUAUUCACGGCGUCUGCUGUUAACAGUUCUUUGCCUGCAUUAUCCGAUCUUUAUAAAUUUCUGUGAAUUUAUAUUUUUGUGUAUCCUGCAACUUUAAUUUCAUGUAUGUUCCUCAAAACUGUCCUUUACUAAUAUAAUUAAAUUACCUGUACUUAAGUUAAUGCUAGUAUAUCAUAUCAGUAAUUUGUUGUGGUUCAAUGGCUGAUAUGAUAUGCUCUCUUUGCUGGAAGUUCUAAUCUAGAGCUCAGUGGCAUGAGAAAUCAGCAAUUCAUAUGACUCUUCAACUUGAAUUUAGUAAAUGUGAUAUCAUACUUUAGUUGUUCAUAACAGUCUGAUUCAUAUACCAAUUGUUUCAUUGCAAUACAGGAAAUGGUCUCUCCGAAGUCUCUGACCAAGGGGUCAGGUAGAACCAAGGGUCAAAGUGGGGAGAAUAAUGUGGUGAAGAGGAAGCGUGAACAAGAUACUGAAGAGGUAUUCAUUCUUAGUCACAUGUGCAAAUGGAACUAUCAUAAUCCACCGCAAUUCCAAACACAGCUUAUGUUUGUUUUAUCCAAAUGAUAUGAUACUUAAACCUUUUACGCUCUUGUUAGACUCCUCGCUCAAGGAAGGACAAAGGUCUGGAUGGAAGUCUAGUUGGUUCAAGGAUCAAAGUAUGGUGGCCAGACGAUGAGAUGUAAGUGGGGGUGAAUAUUGCAUGCGUCUGGAAUGUAGCCUGUCCUUAAGAUGAUCAAUUCCUGGAUUCUCCAAUUGUAGAAGGCUUAGUCGUUGUUACUAGUACACUGUUAACCCAAAUGAAAUAGUUGUAGAGAUACUACAUGCCAUUAUUAGCUCAGUUCUUAUGACUACAGUAUGCCUUGUUAUGUUGAACACUUCUAAAUCUACAGCAUAGAUGCUUCGACUUCCUUUCAUCAAAUGACACACAUAAAUUAAUAUUCUCGUUCAGAUUUUGGAAAGUCUGUUUGCUGUUUAAACUUGAGCCAUCUCGGCUCGUUGUUGAUGGAUCUACCUGGCUGAUGCAUUUUGGUGCCCUGCUAUUUUGCUAUUCAUUUUAGAUUAGGUUUUGAAAGCCUUUAUUUAUAUUUGCAGGUUUUACAAGGGUGUUGUUGACUCAUUUGAUACCCAUUCCAAAAGGCACAAGGUCAGUACACUGUUUUAUCUCCCUGCAGUGGCUAUUUGGUUUACAUGGAGCACUAAUUUUGAUUCAAAGUCCAUUGUUCAAUUUCUUUUUUCCUUUUCUCUUUUGGCUCUCGUGCUUUUUGGAGCAUAGGUUGCAUAUGAUGAUGGAGAUGUAGAGGUACUGCUGCUUAGGGAUGAAAAAUGGGAUUUCAUCAGUGAGGUAUGCACAUGUUAUUCACCUCAUGAUAAUGUUAGGACAAUGUUUUAUUCCCUUGUUUCUGAGUAACUGUUAUUUUUGCAGGAAGAAGGCAAAACUCCUGAUGUACCAUCUGAGUAAGUAAAAUCAUUUUCAUCAUUCUUGUAUACCUGCAGCUUCCAAAUUGCCUGUCUAAUUUGCCAGUAGCUAAAUUGAUUCAUGCAAUCCUAUUGUAUUGAGAACCAAUAUGCACAAGUGCACUUAAAGCGGCUAAUAACUCAAACCUGACAGGGUCACUAUUGUAGGCGUUGAUGUCACUAUGUUGAGAAUACUGCUCAUAUGCAUAAUUUCAUUAAAUCUAACCAAGCUUCGCGGGCAUGGUGCAAGUUCUUAUAUUCACUUAUAUAGAACCUGAUUCCUGUCUAUCGUGUCUAUCAAUGCUGAGCAUUUGUUAUUCUGUGUUGAUUUGAUAGUAUCACUCCAGUGCUAGCGGACUUCGCGAAGUCGACUAACAAUACAGUGUAUAGUGGAUGCGGUACUGGCAGCAUGAUAAUCAGAUUACAAAUCUUCCAUUGUGGAAUUGCUAUCGAUUUCAGUAAAAUCUUAAACAAUCAGGGAAAGUUUUGUCCUUGGCCAAUUGAAACCACAAACCUAGCUCACCUUACUAACGGCCAGUGGCCCCAGUUCUGAGCACUGUUAAUUUUGAUGUGUUUGACCAAAGCUAGAUAUGUUGUUGUGCACUGCCCUAAUCCCAAGGAGGUCAUUUGUUAAAUUCGUGUUACUGAUUUCUCCAAGCAGGCGCCGUGGCCGAAAAGGGAGAGGAAUCACGCUGCUGCCAGUGAAGGAAGAAAAAAUAGAAACACCUAAAAGGUUAGUAAUGGACACAUAUAGAAGAAGCCUUAUUUCUGAGACUUGUUUGUGUAGAGCUCAUCUGAGACAUGUUUUUCUCAUGGUGGCAGUGACGGAGUGGAGCUUCCAAAGAAAAGGGGCCGUCCGAAAGGUUGGCGCCCCAACAAUGGUGGCACACCGUCUACAACUCCCAGCAAAUCAAAGGGGAAAACUGCUGUCAAGGAUGCCAAGGGGACACCUAAAACUGCUGUUGAGAUUAAGAAAGAAGGCAAGGAGAAAGCCACUGGAUCAGCUAACAAGACGAAGGAUGAUUUAGCUAAAGACAGCAGCAACCAGAAGCUGAAGGAGGUUGGGAGCAAAUCUGGCGAUGGAUCUGUGAAGGGUAGGCCUGGGCGGAAACCAAAAAGCGCUGCCACUAGUACUCCAGUGGCGGGUAGUGGAUCUGGAUCUGUUCAAGAGAAGCGGAAGGAGAAGGAGGAGAAGGAAGAGGCUGAGGCAUCUGAAAUGGAGCAGGAGGCAUCUGGCAAGGGGGCGUCUUCAACUGGAAAGAAGCGCAGAAGGAAGGCUUAGGCUUGAACCAACCAACCAACCAACCGUGAACUUCCCCUGUAAAUGGGUUCGCUCUCAUCAUGGCACCGUUGUAUGGAUUGUAAACUCCUUGGUCGUCUUUGUUUUUUACCUUACCUAUUGAAUUUGUCUGUCUGCUGACUGGGCACCAUUGUCAUUGUCCGUGUCUGUUGUAGUUAGGGGGCUGUGGCUGUGGCAGGAAACAUCUGCAGUAGCUGUAAUGUUUAGUCGUGACUUUGUGUUGUGGGAUGCAUGAUGUGAUGCUGCAGAGCCUCAAGGGAACAUCUAGUUUGUGUCGGAUGUUGUUGUAGCCAGCUUAUUCAUGUUCUAUUUAUAUAGGCUAUAUAUUUGGUCAUCGACUCGCGCUUUUUUCUGGCAGAUGUGCCGGUUUCUUUUCUUUGUCUAUCCUUUGUG
RNAcentral lists this long non-coding RNA (70437 nucleotides) under Triticum aestivum (bread wheat). Its description in RNAcentral is "long non-coding RNA (TAES_LNC010502)". The record is from RNAcentral. Lineage: Eukaryota; Viridiplantae; Streptophyta; Magnoliopsida; Poales; Poaceae.